UUUUUUUUUGUAGGUCAAAAUGACUUAUAUACCAGAAGAUGGGCACCGGAGGUGGGCCGAGGAGGCCACAACCCACCAGGGCGCGCCUGGGGGGCCUGGCGCACCUAGGUGGGUUGUGCACACCUGGUGGCCCCCUUUGGUGUUUAUUGGCUCCAGUAUUUCUUAAAUAAUCCAUAAAAAAUCUCCAUAAAGUUUCAGCUCAUUUGGAGUUGUGCAGAAUAGGUGUCCUAACGUAGCCUUUCCAGGUCCAGAUUUCCAGCUGCCAGAAUUCUCCCUCUUGGUGUGUUCCUUGCAAAUUAUGAGAGAAAAGGCAUUACAAUUACUCCAAAAAGCAUUAUUAUGGAUGAAAACAUUAUAAAUAACAGUAAGAAAACAUGAUGCAAAAUGGACGUAUCAACUCCCCCAAGCUUAUACCUCGCUUGUCCUCAAGCGAAAACCGAAAUCGAAAAACAUGUCCACAUGCUUUGAGAGAGAGGUGUCGAUAAAAACAAAAUACAGACAUAGAAGCAUCAUGUUGAUUAUUAUAACAUCAAAAAAUUAAACAUAGGACUUCUAUCAUAGAAAUUUUAUCAUAUAAUUCUCAUGAAUAAGUAAUAGUUCCUCACACAAUCAAAGUAUAAAGCAAAAACUCUAUUAGAAACCAACAAACUAUGUUCUCAGUCAACUUUGCAACUACAAUUCAUCAUCUUUUUAGGAAGGUUCACGUGUCGGAACCUUUAGGCAAGUCCACAUACUCAACCAUCAUAUAGUCUUCUAUGAUUGCUAACACUCACCUCGUACCCAUGAACAAAACAUUUCAACCGGACACAAAGAAAGAUAGGGGCUUAUAGUUUCGCCUCCCAACAUACUCACCUCAAGGGUGAUGUCAACAAUAAUAACUCAUGCUAUCUAUAUCCAACUGGACAUAUGUGCCUAGAUCAUUCCUCACCACAUGAUGCUUGCCAAAGGAGAAAAAUAAAAGGAAUAGAGAGAAAAACUUUGACUCUUUGCAUAAAAGUAAAAGAUAGGCCCUUCACAGAGGCAAGCAGAGGUUGCCAUGCGCUUAUUUGUUUGUAUGCUUAAUCCCUUAGUGCAAGAGAACAUCAUGUUGUAUCGCCCCUUAAGAUGACAACCUUUAUUAUGCAGUUUGUCGCUUUUAUUCUUUGUCAUCGAAGUUCGUACAACGCUCAUUUUCUCUUACACGAAAUGAUCUCACACUUUUAGAAGCAAUUUUUAUUGCCUUUUUGCACCGUUGACAACUUACUUGAGGGAUCUUGCUCAAUCCCUAGGUAGGUGUGGUGGACACUUGAAAAAGAUUUGGGUUUAAGGAUUUUUGGAUGCACAAGUAGUAUCUCUACUUAGUACGAAAUUUUUGGCUAGCAAAGAUAGGGGGCAAGCACCACAUGUUAAAGGAUCUAUAACAAUAUGACUUCUAUGUGAAUAUAAACAAACAUAAAUCAUUAAGUUGUCUUCCUUGUCCAACGUCAACAAUUUUGGCAUAUAAUAUUUUGAUGAGGGGUCACAAUCACAAAAGAUUUCUAGGAUAGUAUAUCUAUAUGUGAAUCUUCUCUUCCCUUAUUAAUUCUUUCAUGAGUUGUAUCAUUGACUAAUCAUGUGUUUGUCAAUCUCUAAUAAAAUUUUCUACUUAUAUUUUUCCUUAUGUGGUUCCAUCACCUACCAUAGGAUUAGUAUAUAAUCUUAUUGAUCUAUUUCCUUUCUUCAUUUAUUUCCUUCCUCUUUUUCUUUUUUUAUUUCUUUUAUUUAUUUGCAACAUGAAAGUAAAGAAAGAAAAAACUCAAACUAAAUUUAUUAUAUAACUUGCACACGAUUACAAGGAUAGAUCACUAAGCAAACUUUGAAAGAAGAAAGGAUCGAACUAAAAUUUAUUUCAUCUAAAAUCAAAUGAUCGAACUAAAAUAAGUAAAAGCAAAAGCAUAGUGGGAUGAUACAAUACCGGGGCACCUCCCCCAAGCUUGGCGGAAGCCAAGGGGAGUGCCCAUACCCGAUACUCAAUUCUCUUUUGGUGGUGAAGAAGAUGAUGGUGGUGAUGAUAACUGUGCCUUCAACUUUUUCAUAUUGUAGUUGAGGAGAGAAAUUCCCUCUUUUAAAUCAUCGACCUCCAACUCCAGCUUCAAGAUCUUGUCACAUAAAUCUCCUUUGCUUUUCUGUUGAAAACGAGAAGGAAUAGAUCUGUUAUUAGACCGGUUAGCUCUCUCAGGAAGACUGGACUUCUUGAUUUUAUGUGCAUAUCCCCAGGUUGAGGUAGAGGAACAUCCUCCUCCUCCGAGCUUGAAUCAUCGAUCCUCAUCAAGUGAGCAUCCUCCUCGUCAUCCGUAGUUCGACUACAAGGAGAUAGGUCCCCAUAGGUCCUUGGGUUAGCAAUGAUAUGUGAGACAUAGCUCUCACCGUCGAAGUCUUGGGACGACAUAUUGUCAGAUCUAUGCAGAAAACAGCAAGAAUAGAGAACAGAGGAUUUCUUUGUGAUACGGCGAUCAACAGGUUCGGGAAGUAUCUUGUAGGACAAGUAUAUGGAAGAAAAAAUGGAGUAUGGGAGGUGUCCUAGGUGGGCACAACCCACCUGGGUGCGCCAGGAAAGCCUGGCACGCCCUGGUGUCUUGUGCCCACCAGGGGACACUUCCUGGAAGUUUCUUUAUUUCCAAAAUUUUAAAAUAUUCCAAAACUAAUAAAAAAACAUUAUUGCAGAUUUUUCGGAGUCCGUUUACUUACCGUAUCACAUACCUCUUUAUUUUCAUGAUUCUAGAGUGUUCCGGAAGGACUCUUUUAUGUGUUCUUCCGGUGUCAUGGUUUGGAUAAUAUUACUUUCAACAUUGAUAGGUGUACCUGAGAUAUAAUGCAUUAUUCGUUGCCCAUUGACAACCUUCGGAGUUAUUUAUUUUGAUGUCUCCAGACCGGUAAACCUCCUCGUUGAUGUAUGGGCCUUCCCAUUUCGAGAGGAGCCUUCCUGCAAAAAAAUCUAAAACGAGAGUUGUACAAAAGAACGUAUUCUCCAACUUUCAACUCACGCUUUUGAAUUCAUUUGUCAUGCCAUCUUUUAACUUUUUCUUUGAAAUAACUUUGCAUUUUCAUAUGCUUGGGUUCUCCAUUCAUCUAAGGAGCUUAUAUCAAAUAAUCUCUUUUCACCAACAAGUUUGAAAUCAUAGUGGUGUUCUUUAACUACCCAAUAUGCUUUAUGUUCUAACUCAAGAGGCAAAUGACAAUCUUUUCCAUAAACCAUUUUAUAAGGAGACAUACACAUAGGAUUUUUAUAUGUUGUUCUAUAAGCCCAUAGUGCAUCGUCUAAUUUCUUAGACCAAUUCUUCCUGGACCUAUUGACAGUCUUUUGCAAAAUUAAUUUUUUUCUCUAUUGCUAAGUUCAACUUGACCACUAGACUGAGGAUGAUAGGGUGAUGCAAUUCUAUGGUUAGCAUCAUACUUAGCAAACAUCUUACAAAAAGCACCAUGAAUAAAAUGUGAACCACCAAUAGUCAUUAAAUAUCUAGGGACUCCAAACCUUGGGAAAAUAACUUCCUUAAGCAUUUUAAUAGAGGUGUUGUGAUCAGCACUACUGGUUGGAAUGGCUUCUACCCAUUUAGUAACAUAAUCAACAGCAACCAAAAUAUGUGUAUACCCAUUAUAGGAAGGAAAAGGUCCCAUGUAAUCAAAUCCCAAAACAUCAAAUAGUUCAACGGCAAGUGAAUAAUUCAUAGGCAUUUCUUGACGCUUACCGAUAUUACCUAUUCUUUGACAUUCAUCACAAGAAGAGACAAACUUACAGGCGUCCUUGAAGAGAGUCAGAUUGCAAUACCUUGUGAGAAGUUUUGUCUCCAGCAUGAUGCCCUCCAUAAGCCUUGGGGUGACAUUUCCGUAAGAUUUGUCCUUGUUCAUGCUCAGGUACACAACUUCUAAUAAUACUAUCUACUCCUUUAUAAAGAUGUGGGUCAUCCCAAAAGUAGUGUCUUAAAUCAUAGAAGAAUUGUUUUCUUUUGCUGGUAUGUAAAGCUAGGUGGUAAACUUUAGCAACAAUGUAAUUAGCAUAGUCAGCAUACCAAGGAGUACCACUAGCAACAUUUAUUGCAGCUAACUGCUCAUCAGGAAAACUAUCAUCAAUAGGUAGUGGGUCAUCAAGCACAUUUUCAAGCCUAGACAAAAUAUCAGCUACGGGGUUCUCAGCUCCUUUUCUAUCAAUGAUAUGUAAAUCAAAUUCUUGUAAUAAGAGAACCCAAUGAAUAAGUCUAGGUUUAGCAUCUUUCUUUUCCAUAAGAUAUUUAAUAGCAGCAUGGUAUGUGUGAACAGUUACUUUGGAAUCAACAAUAUAAGGUCUAAAUUUAUCACAAGCAAACACUACUGCUAAGAAUUCUUUUUCAGUAGUAGCAUAAUUUCUUUGAGCACUGUCUAGAGUUUUACUAGCAUAAUGAAUAACAUUUAGUUUCUUAUCAACUCUUUGUCCUAGAACAGCACCAACAGCAUAAGCACUAGCAUCACACAUAAUUUCAAAAGGCAAGUUCCAAUCAGGUGGUUGAACAAUAGGUAAAGAUAUUAAGGCUUUCUUGAGUGUUUCAAAGGCUUCUAAACAAUCAUCAUCAAAAACAAAAGGAAUAUCCUUUUGCAAAAGAUUAGUAAGAGGCCUAGAAAUUUUAGAAAAGUCUUUGAUAAAUCUCCUAUAGAAACCAGCAUGACCUAGGAAACUACGAAUACCUUUGAUGUCCUUAGGACAUGGCAUUUUCUCAAUUGUCAACCUUAGCUUGGUCCACUUCAAUACCUCUUUCAGAAAUUUUAUGACCCAAGACAAUGCCUUCAUUAACCAUAAAGUGGCACUUCUCCCAAUUCAAGACAAGAUUUGUUUGUUCACAUCUCUGCAAAACUCGCUCAAGAUUGCUUAAACAAUCAUCAAAAGACUUCCCAUAAAUAGAAAAGUCAUCCAUGAAAACCUCAAUAAUCUUUUCACAAAAGUCAGAGAAUAUAGCAUUCAUACAUCUUUAAAAGGUAGUAGGUACAUUACAUAGACCAAAAGGCAUACGUCUAUAAGCAUAAGUUCCAAAGGGACAAGUAAAAGUAGUCUUUUCUUGAUCAGGUUGAGAAACAGCUAUUUGUGAAAAGCCAUGGUAUCCAUCUAGGAAGCAAAAGUGUGUGUGCUUAGAUAAUCUUUCAAGCAUUUGAUCAAUAAAAGGAAAGGGGUGAUGAUCUUUUCUAGUUGAUUUGUUUAAUUUUCUGUAAUCAAUUACCAUUCUAUAGCCUUUAACAAUUCUUUGUGGAAUAAGUUCAUUUUUAUCAUUAGGAACAACAGUAAUACCUCCUUUCUUAGGGACACAAUGAACAGGACUUACCCAUCUACUAUCAGCUAUAUGAUAGAUUAUACCUGCUUCUAGAAGUUUUAGGAUUUCCGUUCUUGCCACUUCCUUCAUUUUUUGAUUCAACCGACGUUGGUGAUCAACAAUGGGUUUAGCAUCAGGUUCCAUAUUAAUUUUGUGCUGACAUAGAGUGGGACUAAUGCCCUUUAUAUCAUCAAGAGUAUAUCCAAUAGCAGCCUGGUGCUUCCUUAGAACUUUCAAUAAUCUUUCUUCUUCAUGUUCUUAAAGGUUAGCACUAAUAAUAACAGGAUAUAUCUUCUUUUCAUCGGGAUAAUCAUAUUUCAAAGUGUCUUGCAAUUGUUUUAAUUCAAACACAUGAUCACCUUCAGGUGGAGGAGGACCUCCCAGAGUUUCAAUAGGCAAAUUGUGUUUAAGCAAAGGACGUUGUUCAAAGAGAACCUUAUAUAUUUCAUUUAUUUCAUGCAUAUGUAAAUCAUUUUCAUGGUCUAGCAAAUAUUGUUCUAAAGGAUUAGUAGGUGGAACAGCAAUAGAAGCAAGACCAAUUAAUUCAUCCUUACUAGGCAAUUCUUUUUCAUGAUGAUUUCUACUAAACUUGGAAAAAUUAAACUCAUGAGACUCAUCACCAAAGCUAACACUAACAGUUUGUUUCUUACAAUCUAUCUUAGCAUUAACUAUAUUCAAGAAAGGUCUACCAAAGAUAAUGGGACAAAAGUCAUCUUGUGGGGAACCAAGAACAAGAAAAUUAGUAGGGUAUUUUAUUUUCCCACACAAGACUUCAACAUCUCUAACAAUCCCAAUUGGUGAUAUGGUGUCUCUAUUAGCAAGUUUAAUAGUAACAUCUAUUUCUUCUAUUUCAGCAGUUGCUAUGUCUUUCAUGAUUUCUUCAUAUAAAGUGUAAGGAAUAGCACUCACACUAGCACCCAUGUCACAUAAACCAUCAUAAUAGUGAUCUCCUAUUUUAACUGAAAUAAUAGGCAUGCCAACAACAGGUCUAUGUUUAUUUCUUUUAUCAGGUUUAGCAAUUCUAGCAGGUUCUUCACAGAAGUAAAUAACAUGCCCAUCCAUAUCUUCUUCUAAGAGAUAUUUAACCAUAGCAAUACUAUGUUCAACUUUAAUUUGUUCAUCAGGUUUAGGUGUUCUAAUAUAGCUUUUGUUAACAACAGUUGAAACUUUAGCAUGUUCCUUUAUCCUAACAGGGAAAGGUGGUUUCUCAAUAUAAGCAGAAGGAACAACUGGAUCAACACUAUAAAGUAUAGUUCCUUCUUUAACUGGUACUGGUUCUUUAAUUUCUUCUUUAAUAGGUGGGUGAUAUUUAAACCACUUCUCCUUAGGGAGUUCAACAUGAGUAGCAAAUGAUUCACAAAAGGAGGCUACUAUCUCAGAGUCAAGUCCAUAUUUAGUGCUAAACUUUUGAAAAGAAUAGGUAUACAUAAAAGAUUUAACACAAUCAUACUUAAGUUUAAUACCUGACUCUUUACCUUCGUCGAGUUCCCAAUCUUCAGAGUUGCGUUUAAUUCUUUCCAAAAGAUCCCACCGGAAUUCAAUAGUCUUAUUCAUAAAUGAACCAGCACAAGAAGUAUCAAGCAUGGUUUGAUCAUUACGAGAAAGCCGAGCAUAAAAAUUCUGGAUAAUAAUUUCUCUUGAGAGCUCAUGAUUGGGGCAUGAAUAUAACAUUGACUUAAGCCUCCCCCAAGCUAGAGCGAUACUUUCUCCUUCACGAGGCCAAAAAUUAUAUAUAUAAUUCUGAUCACAAUGAAACUAGAUGCAUGGGAUAAUUUUUUUGGUGGAACUCCAAUUCCAUGAUCCAAUAUCAUCACAUAGGCUAUGCCAUGCCAAUGCUUUUCCCUUCAAAUAGAAAGGGAAAACAUUUCUCAUAACUUCAUCUCUGGGUAAACCUACAAGCUUAAACAAUCCACAAAUUUGUUCCACAUAUAUCAAGUGCAUAUCAGGAUGUUCAGUUCCAUCUCCUGCAUAAGGAUUAGCUAGCAGUUGUUCUAUCAUACUUGAAGGAAUUUCAUAUUCAAUAUUUUCAGUAGGUGCAGUAGGUUCAGGGGUAGCUAAUUGUGGUUCCGGACAAGGCGAAGAUACCCCGAACAAACACCUCAAAGGAUUGUUUUCCAUAGUAACAAGUGACAAUAAAUUUCAGCACACUAUAUAAAUGUUUCCUUACCAAAUUCCACUUACCAAAGGUGCUUCACUCCCCGGCAAUGGCGCCAGAAAAUAGCCUUGAUGACCCACAAGUAUAGGGGAUCAAUUGUAGCUCUUUUCGAUAAGUAAGAGUGUCGAACGCAACGAGGAGCAGAAGGAAAUGACAAGUGGUUUUCAGCAAAGUGAUGUGUGCAAGUGCUGAAAUUGUAAGUAGCGAGUAGUUUGAUAGCAAGAUAAUUUGUAACGAGCAAGUAACGAUAAUAGUAACAAAAGUGCAGCAAGGUAGCCCAAUCCUUUUGAGGCAAAGGACAGGCCAAAAUAAUCUCUUAUGACAAGCAAAGCGUUCUUGAGGGUACACGAGAAUUUCAUCUAGUCACUUUCAUCAUGUUGGUUCGAUUUGUGUUCACUACUUUGAUAAUUUGAUAUGUGGGUGGACCAGUGCUUAGGUGCUGUUCUUACUUGAACAAACCUUGUACUUAUGAUUAACCCUCCCGCAAGCAUCCUCAAGUACAAGAAAAGUAUUAAGAAUAAAUUCUAACCAUAGCAUUAAACUUUUGGAUCCAAUCAGUCCCUUACGAAAUAGCGCAUAAACUGGGGUUCAAGCUUCUGUCACUCUCGCAACCACCAUCUAAUUGCUACUCCACAAUGCAUUCCCUUAGUCCCAAAUAUGGUGAAGUGUCAUGUGGUUGAUGUUCACAUGACACCACUAAGGGAAUAACAACUUACAUACUAUCAAAAUACCAGACACAUAUCAAGUUCUUGCAACAUGAUUUCUCCCGUGACCUCAAGAACAAAAGUAACUACUCACAAACGAUAAACAUGUUCAUGAUCAGAGGAGUAUUAAAUAACAUAAUGGAUCUGAACAUAUAAUCUUCCACCAAAUAAACCAUACAGUAAUCAACUACAAGAUGUAAUCAACACUACUAGUCACCCGCAAGUACCAAUCUACCAGUAACAAGAUUGAACACAAGAGAUGAACUAGGGUUUGAGAGGAGAUGGUGUUGUUGAAGAUGUUGAUGGAGAUUGCCCUCCCCAAGAUGGGAGAGUUGUUGGUGAUGAUGAUGAUGAUGAUUUCCCCCUCCGGGAGGGAAGUUCCCCGGCGGAAUCGCUCUGCUAGAGGGCAAAAGUGCUCCUGCCCAAGUUCCGCCUCGAGGCGGCGGCGCUUCGUCCAGAAAGUCCUCCUCUUAUUUUUUCUAGGUCAAAAUGACUUAUGUACAAGAAGAUGGGCACCGGAGGUGGGCCGAGGAGGCCACAACCCACCAGGGCGCGCCUGGGGGGCCUGGCGCGCCCAGGUUGGUUGUGCCCACCUGGUGGGCACUCUCUGGUGUUUAUUGGCUCCAAUAUUUCUUAAAUAAUCCAUAAAAAAUCUCCGUAAAGUUUCAGCUCAUUUGGAGUUGUGCAGAAUAGGUGGCCCGGCGUAGCUUUUCCGGGUCCAGAUUUCCAGCUGCCGGAAUUCUCCCUCUUGGUGUGUUCCUUGCAAAUUAUGAGAGAAAAGGCAUUAGAAUUACUCCAAAAAGCAUUAUUAUGUAUAAAAACAUUAUAAAUAACAAUAAGAAAAUAUGAUGCAAAAUGGACGUAUCACUCUCCCCCUCUCGUUGCUAUGCAUCUCCUAGAUAAAUCUUGCAUGAGCGUAGGAAAUUUUUGAAAUUGCAUGCUACAUUUCCCAAUAGUGGCAUCCGAGCGAGGUCUAUGCGUAGAUGAUAUGCACGAGUAGAACACGGAGUUGUGGGGGAUGAUAGUCAUACUGCUUACCACCAACAUCUUAUUUUGAUUCGGUGGUAUUGUUGGAUGAAGCGGCCCGGGCCAACCUUACAGGACCACGUUCAUGAGACCGGUUCCACCGACACACGUGCAACUUGUUUUGCAUAAAGGUGGCUGGUGGGUGUCUGUUUCUCCAACUUUAGUUGAAUCAAAUUUGACUGCGUCCGGUGCUUGUUGAAGGUUAAAACAGCAAACUUGACGAAACAUCAUUGUGGUUUUGAUGCGUAGGUAAGAACGGUUCUUACUAGAAGCCCGUAGCAGCCACGUAAAACUUGCAACAACAAAGUAGAGGAGGUCUAACUUGUUUUUGCAGGGCAUGUUCUGAUGUGAUAUGGUCAAGACAUGAUGUGAUAUACGUUAUUGUAUGAGAUGAUCAUGUUUGGUAGAAGUUAUCGGCAACUGGCAGGAGCCUUAUGGUUGUCGCUUUAUUGUAUGAAAUGCAAACUCCAUGUAAUUGCUUUACUUUAUCACUAUGCGUUAGUGAUAGUUGUAGAAGCAAUAGUUGGUGAGAUGACCAUGACACUACGAUGGAGAUCAAGGUGUCAAGCCGGUGAUGAUGGAGAUCAUGACCGUGCUUUGGAGAUGGAUAUCAAAGGCACAAGAUGAUGAUGGCCAUAUCAUGUCACAUAUUUUGAUUGCAUGUGAUGUUUAUCUUUUAUGCAUCUUAUUUUGCUUAGUACGGCGGUAGCAUUAUAAUAUGAUCCCUUAACUAAAAUUUCAAGGUAUAAGUGUUCUCCCUGAGUAUGCACCGUUGCGACAGUUCAUCGUGUUGAGACACCACGUGAUGAUCGGGUGUGAUAAGCUCUAUGUUCACAUACAACGGGUGCAAGAUAGUUUUGCACAUGCGGAAUACUCGGGUUAAACUUGACGAGCCUAGCAUGUGCAGACAUGGCCUUGGAACACUGGAGACCGAGAGGUCGAACGUGAAUCAUAUAGUAGAUAUGAUCAACAUAGAGAUGUUCACCAUUGAAAACUACUCCAUCUCACGUGAUGAUCGGACAUAGUUUAGUUGAUAUGGAUCACGUGAUCAUUUAGAUGACUCGAGGGAUGUCUAUCUAAGUGGGAGUUCUUAAGUAAUAUUAUUAACUGAACUUAAUUUAUCAUGAACUUAGUCGUGAUAGUAUUUGAAUAUCUAUGUUAUAGAUCAAUAGCUCGCAUAUAGCUCCCCUGUUUUAUUUUGAUAUGUUCCUAGAUAAAAAUAGUUGAAAGAUGAUAGUAGCAAUGAUACGGACUGGAUCCGUGAUCUGAGGAUUAUCCUCAUUGCUGCAUAGAAGAAUUAUGUCCUUGAUGCACCACUGGCUGACAGGCCUAUUGCAGGAACAGAUGCAGACGUUAUGAACGUUUGACAAGCUCGGUAUGAUGACUACUUGAUAGUUUAGUGCACCAUACUUUACGGCUUAGAACCAGGACUUCAAAAAUGUUUGGAAUGCCACGGAGCAUAUAAGAUGUUCCAAGAGUUGAAAUUGGUAUUUCAGACUCAUGCCCGUGUCGAGAGGUAUGAGACCUCUAACAAGUACUUUGCCUACAAGAUGGAGGAGAAUGGCUCAGCCAGUGAGCAUGUACUCAGAAUGUCUGGGUACUACAAUCGCUUGAAUCAAGUGGGAGUUAAUCUUCCAGAUAAGAUAGUGAUUGACAGAGUUCUCUAGUCACUAUCACCAAGUUACUAGAACUUCGUGAUGAACUAUACUAUGCAAGGGAUGGCGAAAAUGAUUCCCAAGCUCUUCGCGAUGCUAAAAUCGACGAAGGUAGAAAUCAAGAAAGAGCAUCAAAUGUUGAUGCUUAUCAAGACCACUAGUUUCAAGAAAAGGGCAAGGGAAAGAAAUGGAACUUCAAGAAGAAUGACAAACAAGUUGUCACUCCCAUGAAGAAGCCCAAAGAUGGACCUAAGCCUGAAACUAAGUGAUUAUACUGCAAAGGUAAUGCUCACUAGAAGCGGAACUGCCCCAAAUAUUUUGCGGAUAAGAAGGAUGGCAAAGUGAACAAAGGUAUAUUUGAUAUACAGAUUAUUGAUGUGUACCUUACUAGUGUUCGUAGUAGCCCAUGGGUAUUUGAUACCGGUUCAGUUGCUAAGAUUAGUAACUCGAAACAGGAGUUGCAGAAUAAACAAAGACUAGUUAAGGACGAGGUGACGAUGUGUGUUGGAAGUAAUUCCAAGGUUGAUACGAUCACCAUCGCACACUCCCUCUACCUUCGAGAUUAGUGUUGAACCUAAAUAAAAGUUAUUUGGUGUUUGCGUUGAGCAUUAAUAUGAUCAGAUCAUGUUUAUUGCAAUACAGUUAUUCAUUUAAGUUAGAGAAUAAUUGUUGUUCUGUUUAUAUGAAUAAAACCUUCUAUGGUCAUACACCCAAUGUAAAUGAAGAAUAUCGAUCGUAGUGAUACACAUAUUCAUAAUAUUGAUGCCAAAAGAUGCAAAGUUGAUAAUGAUAGUGCAACAUAUUUGUGGCACUGCCGUUUAGGUCAUAUUGGUGUAAAGCACAUGAACAAACUCCAUGCCGAUGGGCUUUUGGAAUCACUUGAUUAUGAAUCAUUUGAUGCUUGCAAACCAUGCCUCAUGGGAAAGAUGACUAAAACUCCAUUCUUCGGAACAAUGGAGCGAGCCACUAACUUAUUGGAAAUAAUACAUACCAAUGUAUGCGGUCCGAUGAGAGUUGAGGCUCGCGGCGGGUAUCGUUAUUUUCUGACCUUCACAGAUGAUUUGAGCAGAUAUGGGUAUAUCUAUUUAAUGAAACACAAGUCUGAAACAUUUGAAAUGUUCAAAGAAUUUCAAAGUGAACUGGAGAAUCUUGUAACAAGAAAAUAAAGGUUCUACGAUCUGAUCAGGGAGGCGAAUAUUUGAGUUACGAGUUUGCCCUUCAUUUAAAACAAUGUGGAAUAGUUUCAGCUCACGCCACCAGGAACACCACAACGCAAUGGUGUGUCCGAACGUUGUAACCGUACUUUAUUAGAUAUGGUGCGAUCUAUGAUGUCUCUUACCGAUUUACCGCUAUCAUUUUGGGGUUAUGCAUUAGAGAUAGCUACAUUCACAAUAAAUAGGGCACCAUCUAAAUACGUUGAGACGACACCAUUGAUAUGUCUCCAAAGUAUCUAUAAUUUUUGCUUGUUCCAUGCUAUUAUAUUAUCAACCUUGGAUGUUUGAUAUCAAUUUAUAUGCUAUUUUAUAUGAUUUUUGGGACUAACCUAUUAACCUAGAGCCCAGUGCCAGUUUCUGUUUUACCUUGUUUUAGAGUAUCACAGAAAAGGAAAAUCAAACGGAGUCCAAUUGACCUGAAACUUCACGGAACUUAUUUUUGGAAGGAAAGCAACCCGGGAGACUUGGAGUCCACGUAAGGGAAGCAACGAGGAAGCCACGAGGCAGGGGGCGCGCCCACCCCCCUGGGCGCGCCCUCCACCCUCGUGGGCCCCUCGUGGCUCCCCUGACGUACUUCUUCCGCCUAUAUAUCUCCAUAUACCCUAAAAACAUCCGGGAGCACAAUAGAUCAGGAGUUUCGCCGCCAGAAGCCUCCGUAGCCACCGAAAGCCAAUCUAGACCCGUUCCGGCACCCUGUCGGAGGGGGCAAUCCCUCUCCGGUGGCCAUCUUCAUCAUCCCGGUUCUCUCCAUGACGAGGAGGGAGUAAUUCUCCCUCGGGGCUGAGGGUAUGUACCAGUAGCUAUGUGUUUGAUCUCUCUCUCUCUCUCUCUCUCUCUCUUGUGUUCUUGAUUUGGCACGAUCAUGAUGUAUCGCGAGCUUUGCCAUUAUAGUUGGAUCUUAUGUUUCUCCUCCCCCUCUACUCUCUUGUAAUGGAUUGAGUUUCCCCUUUGAAGUUAUCUUAUCGGAUUGAGUCUUUAAAGAUUUGAGAACACUUGAUGUAUGUAUUGACGUGCGUAUCUGUGGUGACAAUAGGAUACCACGUGAUUCACUUGAUGUAUGUUUUGGUGAUCAACUUGCGGGUUCCGCCCAUGAACCUAUGCAUAGGGGUUGGCACACGUUUUCGUCGUGAUUCUUCGGUAGAAACUUUGGGGCACUCUUUGAGGUCCUAUGUGUUGGUUGAAUAGAUGAAUCUGAGAUUGUGUGAUGCAUAUCAUAUAAUCAUACCCAUGGAUACUUGAGGUGACAUUGGAGUAUCUAGGUGACAUUAGGGUUUUGGUUGAUUUGUGUCUUAAGGUAUUAUUCUAGUACGAACUCUAGGGUUGUUUGUGACACUUAUAGGAAUAGCCCAACGGAUUGAUUGGAAAGAAUAACUUUGAGGUGGUUUCGUACGCUACCAUAAUCUCUUCGUUUGUUCUCUGCUAUUAGUGACUUUGGAGUGACUCUUUGUUGCAUGUUGAGGGAUAGUUAUGUGAUCCAAUUAUGUUAGUAUUGUUGAGGGAACUUGCACUAGUGAAAGUAUGAACCCUAGGCCUUGUUUAAACACAUUGCAAUACCAUUUACGCUCACUUUUAUCAUUAGUUACAUUGCUGUUUUUAUAUUUUCAGAUUACAAAAACCUUUGUCUACCAUCCAUAUACCACUUGUAUCACCAUCUCUUCGUCGGAUUAGUGCACCUAUACAAUUUACCAUUGUAUUGGGUGUGUUGGGGACACAAGAGACUCUUUGUUAUUUGGUUGCAGGGUUGCUUGAGAGAGACCAUCUUCAUCCUACGCCUCCGACGAAUUGAUAAACCUUAGGUCAUCCACUUGAGGGAAAUUUGCUACUGUCCUACAAACCUCUGCACUUGGAGGCCCAACAACGUCUACAAGAAGAAGGUUGUGUAGUAGACAUCAACCAUAUGAACUGUGGUUUGACAAGAAACAUAAGCUGUCGUUUCUUAAAAGAUUUGGGGUUUAUAUGCUUAUGUGAAAAAGCUUCAGCCUGAUAAGCUCGAACCCAAAUCGGAGAAGUGUGUCUUCAUAGGAUACCCAAAAGAAACUGUUGGGUACACCUUCUAUCACAUAUUCGAAGGCAAGAUCUUUGUUGCUAAGAAUGGAUCCUUUCUAGAGAAGGAGUUUAUCUCGAAAGAAGUGAGUGGGAGGAAAGUAGAACUUGAUGAGGUAAUUGUACCAUCUCUCGAAUUGGAAAGUAGCUCAUCACAGAAAACCGUUCCCGUGAUGCCUACACCAACUAGAGAGGAAGCUAAUGAUAAUGAUCAUGAAACUUAGGAUCAAGUUACUACUGAACCUCGUAGGUCAACCAGAGCAUGUUCCGCACCGAAGUGGUAUGGUAAUCAUGUUCUGGAAGUCAUGUUACUAGACCAUGACAAACCUAUGAACUAUGAGGAAGCGAUGAUGAGCCCAGAUUCCGCAAAAUGGCUUGAGGCCAUGAAAUCUGAGAUAGGAUCCAUAUAUAAGAACAAAGUGUGGACUUUGGUGGUCUUGCCCGAUGAUCGGCAGGCCAUUGAGAAUAAAUGGAUCUUCAAGAGGAAGACGGACGAUGAUGGUAGUGUUACUAUCUACAAAGUUUGAAUUGUCACAAAAGGUUUUCGAAAAAUUCAAGGUGUUGACUACGAUGAGAUUUUCGCACUCGUAUCGAUGCUUAAGUCUGUCCGAAUCAUGUUAGCAAUUGCCGCAUUUUAUGAAAUCUAGCAAAUGGAUGUCAAAACUGCAUUCCUUAAAUGGAUUUAUUAAAGAAGAGUUGUAUAUGAUACAACUAGAAGGUUUUGUCAAUCCUAAAGGUGCUGACAAAGUGUGCAAGCUCCAGCGAUCCAUCUAUGGACUGGUGCAAGCAUCUCGGAGUUGGAAUAUAUGCUUUGAUGAGAUGAUCAAAGCAUAUGGUUUUAUACAGACUUUGGAAGAAGCCUGUAUUUACAAGAAAGUGGGUGGGAGCACUAUAGCCUUUCUGAUAAGUAUAUGUGAAUGAAAUAUUAUUGAUCGGAAAUGGUGUAGAAUUUUCUGGAAAGCAUAAAGGAGUGUUUGAAAGAAGUUUUUCAAAAGAAGGUCCUCAGUGAAGCUGCUUACAUAUUAGGCAUCAAUGUCUAUAGAGAUAGAUCAAGACGCUUGCUAAGACUUUCGAUGAGUACAUACCUUGAUAAUAUUUUGAAGGAGUUCAAAAUGGAUCUGUCAAAGCAGGAGUUCUUGCCUGAGUUGUAAGGUAUGAAGUUGAGUAAGACUCAAAACCCGACCACGGCAGAAAAUAGAGAGAGAAUGAAAAUCAUUCCCUAUGCCUUAGCCAUAAGUACUAUAAAGUAUGCCAUAUUGUAUACCAGACCUAUUGUGUACCUUGCCAUGAUUUUGGCAAGGGGGUACAAUAGUGAUCCAAGAGUAGAUCACUGGAUGGUGGUCAAAAUUAUCCUUAGGUACCUAAAGAGGACUAAGGAAAUAUUUCUCGGUUAUGGAGGUGAUAAAGAGUGUUCAUCGUAAAGAGUUAUGUCGAUGCAAGCUUUGACACCGACCUAGAUGACUCUGAGUCUCGAUCUGGAUACAUAUUGAAAGUGGGAGCAAUUGCUAGAGUAGCUCCAUGCAGAGCAUUGUAGACAUAGAAAUUAGUAAAAUACAUACGGAUCUGAAUGUGUUAGACCCGUUGACUAAACUUCUCUCACAAGAAAAACAUGAUCACACCUUAGUACUCUUUGGGUGUUAAUCACAUAGCAUGUGAACUAUAUUAUUGAAUCUAGUAAACCCUUUGGGUUUUGGUCACAAGGCAAUGCGAAAUGUGGGUGUUAAUCACAUAAAGAUGUGAACUAUUGGUGUUAAAUCACAUGGCGAUGUGAACUAGAUUAUUGACUCUAGUGCAAGUGGGAGACUGGAGGAAAUAUGCCCUAGAGGCAAUAAUAAAGUUAUUAUUUUAUAUUUCCUUAUAUCAUGAUAAAUGUUUAUUAUUCAUGCUAGAAUUGUAUUAACCGGAAACUUCAUACAUGUGUGGAUACAUAGACAAAACACUCUGUCCCUAGUAAGCCUCUACUAGACUAGCUCGUUAAUCAAAGAUGGUUAAGUUUCCUAACCAUAGACAUGUGUUGUCAUUUGAUGAACGGAAUCACAUCAUUAGGAGAAUGAUGUGAUGGACAAGACCCAUAUGUUAGCUUAGCAUAAUGAUCAUUAAGUUUAUAGCUAUUAUUGCUUUCUUCACGACUUAUACAUAUUCCUUUGACUGUGAGAUUGUGCAACUCCCGGAUACCGGAGGAAUACCUUGUGUGCUAUCAAACGUCACAACGUAACUAGGUGAUUAUAAAGAUUCUCUACAGGUAUCUCCGAAGGUGUUUGUUGGGUUGGCAUAGAUUGAGAUUAGGAUUUGUCACUCUGAGUAUCGGAAAGGUAACUCUGGGCCCUCUCGGUAAUGCACAUCAUAAUAAGCGUUGCAAGCAAUGUGACCAAUGAGUUAGUUGAGGGAUGAUGCAUUACGGAACGACUAAAGAGACUUGCCGGUAAUGAGAUUGAACUAGGUAUGAAGAUACCGACGAUUGAAUCUCGGGCAAGUAACAUACCUGUGACAAAGGGAAUAACGUAUGUUGUCAUUAUGGUUUGACCGAUAAAGAUCUCCGUAGAAUAUGUAGGAACUAAUAUGAGCAUCCAGGUUCCGCAAUUGGUUAUUGACUGGAGAUGUGUCUCGGUCAUGUCUACAUAGUUCUCAAACCCGUAGGGUCCGCACGCUUAAUGUUCGAUGAUAAUUUUGUCUUAUAUGAGUUAUGUGAUUUGGUGGCCGAAUGUUGUUUGGAGUCCCGGAUGAGAUCACGGACAUGACAAGGAGUCUCGAAAUGGUCGAUAGGUAAAAAUUCAUAUAUAGGACGAUAGUAUUCGGACACCGGAAGUGUUUUGGGGGUACCGGGUACGUAUCCGGUCACCGGAAGGGGUUCCGAGCAACCCCCGGCAAGCUAUAUGGGCCUAAUGGGCCAAGAGGGGAAACACACCAGCCACUAAGGGGCUGGUGCGCCCCCCCCCCCCAUAUGGGCUGGCCAAAUUGGAGAGGGAAAGGGGAAGAAGGAAAGGGGAAAAAAGGAAUAGGAUUCCCCCUUCCCCCUCUUCCCUUCCUACUCCGAAUAGGAAUAGGAAAGGGGGAGGCCGAAUUGGGAGGACCCCAAGUUUGAUUCCUCCUACUUGGGGCGCCCCCUUGGCUGCAUCUCCUCCCCUCCAACCUGUAUAUAAGUGUGGGGGGGCACCGCGAGAACACACAACAAAUAUUGUUAGUCGUGUGCGGCGCCCCCCUCCACAGUUUACGCCUCCGGUCAUAUUCACGUAGUGCUUAGGCGAAGCCCUGCGCCGAUCACUUCACUAUCACCGUCACCACGCCGUCGUGCUGAUGAAACUCUCUCUUGACACUUUGCUGGAUCAAGAGUUCGAGGGACGUCAUCGAGCUGAACAUGUCCAUAACUCGGAGGUGUCGUACAUUCGAUGCAUGAUCGGUCGGAAUGAGAAGAAGUUCGACUACAUCAACCACAUUGUCAAACGCUUUUGCUUUCGAUCUAUGAGGGUAUGUGGACACACUCUCCCCCUCUCAUUUCUAUGCAUCUCCUAGAUAAAUCUUGCGUGAGAGUAGGAAAUUUUUGAAAUUGCAUGCUACGUUUCCCAACACCCUUUAUACGAUUUGGAGAGACACGCUUGUCCAUGUAGAAUCAUCUUCACGAUUGUCCUGGAAGCUCUAUCAUCUCAAAAUAUUCUCCUUCAAAAGUUCUUCAUAAUUUUUUAUGAUGAGAUCCUGAAACAUAUACUCACAAAGAAAGAUAGCAUAAUGUGAUGUCAUUCAAAUAAGGAUAUCCCAAGAAGAGACUCCCCCAUGACACUUGCAAGUCCCUAAGUCGUCGCAUACCAAUUCCAUGAACAUAUUUUUGAAAUGUUGGAUUUGGUAGAGACUUGGUAAAUAAAUCAGCAAGGUUGUCGUGAUUUGACUUGCAGAAUGCUUAUUUCCCUGCUUUUCUGAAGAUUAUGGGGGGAAACCAUUUUAGGAUAAAUAUGAUUGGUGAUAUUACUCUUGAUGUAUCCUGUUUGCAUCUGUGCAACACAGGCCGCAUUAUCUUCAUAGAUAAUGGUAGGUGAUUCUAUCAAACCAAUUCCACAUGACUGUUGUAUGUGGUUUAUCAUUCUGCGAAGCCAUACACAUUUGCAUGUUGCUUCAAAUAAUGAAAUUAUUUCAGAAUGAUUGGUAGAAGUUGCCACCAGAGUCUGUUUCGAAGACUUCCAUGAUAUAGCAGUGCCACCAUGUAGGAACACAAAGCCGGUCUAUGAUUUGGCAUUAUGGGGAUCAGACAAAUAGCCGGCAUCUGCAUAUCCAACCAUAUCAGAUUUCUGGUUUUUCUGGAACAGGAAAAAUAGGCCAAUAUCCUUUGUGCCUUGGAGAUAUACAAAAGAUAUUCUUUACUCCAGACCAAUGACAUUUGGUGGGAGCUGCGCUAUGUCUAGCAAGUAGAUUCACUGCAGAUGCAAAAUCAGGUCUUGUGCAAUUUUCAAGAUACAUAAGCGCUCCAACGACACUGGGGUAUGGAACUUCAGGUCCCAACUCCUCUUCUCCAUCACCCCUUGGUCUGAAUAGAUCUUUCUCCACAUCUAGAGAUUGAACCACCAUGGGAGUUUUAGAUGGAUAGGAUUUUUCCAUAUUGAAUUUCUCCAAUAUUUUCUGGAUAUAGGCAUAUUGUUGUACCAUGAUUCCCGAGGGAAGGUGCUCAAGUUGAAUGCCUUAGCAAAAUUUGGUUUUACCCAAAUCCUUCAUCUCAAAUUCCAUCUUUAGGUGAUUGCGUGCUUCAUCAAUGUCUGGUGUGCUGCCGAUGAUGUUGAGAUCAUCAACAUACACAGAAAUGAUGCAAAAUCCUGUAGAGGACUUGAUGAAGACACAUGGCCAAUCAGCACUAUUGGAGUAACCUUUCUGAAGAAGGAACUCACUCAUUCGAUUGUACCACAUCCGUCCUGACUGCCUUAAGCCAUAUAAUGACUUAUUCAGCUUUACACAAUACAUGUUGCGUUUUGCAUUUUUAUUCGGGAUAGAGAUUCCAUCAGGAACCGUCUUAUAUAUGUCCGAAUCUAGUGACCCAUAAUGAUAUGUGGUCACGAUGUCCAUCAACUGCAUAGAUAGACGAUUUUGCACUGCCAAAGAUAUAAGAUGUCGGAAAGUGGUUGCACUCAUUACUGGAGAAUAUGUUUCAAUGAAAUCAAUGCCGGGUUUCUGCGUGAAACCUUGUGCUACGAGCCUUGCUUUAUAUCUCACCACCUUAUUGUUCUCAUUCCGUUUCCAGAGAAAAACCCAUUUGAAGCCCACAGGGAAAACACUGGGAGGUGUCGGUAUUGCUUCAGUGAAUACCUUUCUUUUGUUAAGUGAGGAAAUUUCUGCUUGGAUUGCAUCCUUCCAUUUAGGCCAGUCGGAACGCUUUUGGCACUCUACGAUAGACCUUGGAUCAUGAUCAGUGUGAAGGGUAUCUGCAAUAUUUUCAACAAAAUAUAUGUCGACAUUCGUAGUCUUACGGUCAAAUGAUUCUCCAGAAUCAACAUAGUUGAUGGAAAAUUCCUGCACCCCUAGUGACUCUUCGUGAUUUCCCAAUAUGAUCGAUUCUGGGUGUUCCGAUGUCCCAAUCAGUUUGUGCACACUGGAACUGAGUUCUGGAGGUUGCCCUUCCACUGGAUGUAUACUACCCAUCAGGUGUUUGUCAACGUUGAGUUGACCUUCAUUUACUGACUCCGAGGUUUUUCUCCUCGAUUUCCUUUGCUACUUGCGAGAAGCAUGCUCCAGGUCAGAGGUCGUACUACUCCCCUCUUUUUAGGAAUAGGGAUUUGAGUGGUUUUUACUGGUACCUCCACUCUUUCUGGUGCGUUUCUGGCCAGAUUUAUGGAUUUUGUAACACCUUUUAGAUCAGUAAAUGAAUCUGGCAGAUUAUUUGCAAGAUGUUGCAAAUUAAUGAGCUUCUGAACUUGAAGUUUGGUCUCUUGGGUACGUGGAUCAGAGGAUGAAAUGGCAUGAGCAUUCCAAUCAAUUUUCGGGCAUUCUUUCUGGUACUUGAAAUCUCCCCCUAAUGCCAGAAAAUGUUCCUCAUUAAAUAUGCAAUCAGUGUGACGGGCUGUGAACAGAUCCUUGGUUAGGGGUUCCAGGUACUUGAUAAUCGACGGUGAUUUGUACCCCACAUAGAUCCCCAACUUCCUGUGUGGGCCCAUAGAUGUCCGUUCUGGUGGUGAGAUUGGGAUGUAUGCAGCACAUCCGAACUUAGGCAGAUGGGAAAUGCUUGGAGGAUUUCCACGUACCAAUUCCAGAGGGGAGGAACAGUGAUAUGCAGUUGGCCUCAAUUAUAUCAAGUCAACAGCGUGUAAAACAACAUGACCCCAAAAAGAGGUUGGCAAGUUGCAAUUCGUCAACAAAGGUCUUGCAAUGAGUUUGAUCCUCUUGAUCAAUGCUUUAGCCAAACCAUUUUGUGUAUGGACAUAUGGAACAGAGUGUUGAACUUCAAUCCCCAAAGCCAUGCGAUAAUCAUUGAAAGCACGUGAGGAGAAUUCUGCAGCAUUGUCCAUUCAAAUUGACUUAAUUCGACUUUCAGGAUAAUGGGCUUGCAACUUAAUGACUUGCCUCAUUAUCUUGGCAAAUGCAUGGUUCCAUGUGGAUAGAAGACACCCAUGUGACCAUCGUGUAGAUGCGUCAAUGAGAACCAUGAAAUACCUAAAAGGUCCAGAUAAUGGCUGAAUGGGACCACAAUUGUCUCCUUAAAUAUGUUCAAGGAACUAAAGUGGUUCAGCUUGUAUUUUGAGGUGCGAGGGCCUCAAAUUAGCUUUCCCAUGGCACAAGAUAUGCACACAAAAUCAGAAGGUUGAGGAAAUUUUGACUCAAGCAAAUUAUGACUAAUGGAAUUGCUAGUAAUUUUUCUCAUCAUCCCAAUUCUGGGAUGGCCUAGGCGAUCAUGCCAGGUUUGGAAUGCGUCAACAUUCUGAAAAAUUACUUUGUAUGCAACAUGUUGCACGGGUUUGAUGUACGUAUAGUACAAACCAGACAAUAGAGAAGGAAUUUUCUCAUGUACCUUUUUGCCAUAUAUGUGAUCGUUAGUAAAGAGUAGCUACUCCUCUUUGUUGUCUUCAUGGGUUUCAAUGUGAAAACCAUUCUUACGGAUAUCUCGAUAACUGAUCAGGGUACAUGAUGAGUCGGGAUACAAUAAAGCAUCCUCAAAUCGUCACUUGUGUACCGCUUGGGAGGGUGAAUAUGGCACGUCCAGUACCAACAAUCACUGUAUCGCGUCCAACGAUAGUUAGAAUAUCUCCAUUCAUCUUUUCCAGAGUUUGGAAAUAUUUCAUCUCCCUCAGUAUGGAGUUUGUGGUACCACUGCCCACAAGGCAUAAUUCCUCUUGCAUCGGAUUGUCCUCGUAGAAAACCAUAUAAAACAAAGAAUUUUCAAUAGGAAAACCUCAUAGUAAUAUAUAGGAUGCAAUCUUUAUUAUAUCAAAUGUGCUGAUACAAUACAAUAUAAAGAAAAAAACAAACUUAUGUUCUUAUUACAAUCAUCACAAAUGGACAUAAUUAAGUAGAUCACUAAGGAGAUUGAGGGACUAGUCGAAGUCACCAAACACAUUGUUUGCGGUGUACUCAAUCAACAUGUUCUCCGUUUCAGCAGGAUCCUCGGGUGGAUAAGGAACCAUGGUGUUGCUCGGUCCAGGAGGAACAUCGUGUGAACCACCAGUUUCUUUUGUGCUAUUCGGAUGAAGGUUGAAGUUGGCUUCAAACCUUUUUCCCUUGAGGUGCUUUGUGUCCCUGAGAUUGCUAGUACAGCAUAACCAGAUGCUUGGGCAUCGUGCACUUUUCAGUAGAAUGUGUGUAGCAUCCACACUUGUUGCAAAGCUUAGAUUUAUCAAACUUGGGCUUUGAAGUGCUGUUUCCCUUGCUUGUGUUUCUGGAUCUCCUGUUCCCAUUGCGCUUUCGCUUAUGCUCAAAAUUGGACUGUUUUACCCAAGAGGUAUCACUAAACUUUUGUCUGUUUGCAACAUUCAGAUGGACUUUAGGUAAAGGUUGUGCCCCAACUGGGUGUUCAGAGCCAUUCUUAGCAAGUAGCUAAUCAUGCUUUUCAGCCUGAAGUAACAUGUGAAUAAGCUCGAGAUAGACAGUGUAGUUACAAGCAUGGUAUUGCUGUUGGAGGAUCCUAUCUGAAGGGAGCAUAGUGGAUAAAUUUUUCUCUAUCUUCUCCCCCUCAGUAGGUUCCUUCUCAGAAAAGCGCAGUUUGGAACAUAUCUUAUGAACAUCAUGAUUGUACUCACCGACGGACUUGAAAUCCUGAAGAAGAAGAUGAGUCCAAUCAUGGAGCGCUUCUGGCAGGGCAACUUCCUUAUGCUGUCCAUACCUCAUUUUGAGGGCUAGAAAAGGAGUACUAUGAGAUUCCUCCUGUAAAUACUCAGACUUGAGAUCUGGAUGAAUAUGGUGUCUUAUGAUGAAUAAAGCAGCAUAGUUCUGUUGUUCUAUCAGCGGCGUGGCCCCAGCCGGGAGAGGAGUCUUCGGGGGUUGUAUUGCACGCACUAUCCCACGGGGCGCAAGACUGAUCUUGAUGUCCAUAGCCCAUGUAGGGUAGUUGUGGCCAUUGAGGACAAGCUCCUCAAACUCUUUGGCAGUCAUCUUUGCCUACAUGGGAAAUCAGAGAUAAUUAAUUUACAUGUGGUAAAUUAAAAACCAUCAUGGUCCUGUAAUAAGAAUGCAAAAAUUUGAUGCUCAAGUGAAAAACUUGAAAAAAAUAUCAACCUCAAUUGUGUGAACAUAACACAUUGAAGAUCACUUAGAUCUCACAAUAAUAGGCUACAUCGCCAUUACCUUGUGUAUCCUACAAUUCAGAUAUAAGGAAUACACAUUGGAGGUAAUCGCUUGUCGAGAAUGACAUAGCGUAGACCUCACAGUAAGAGGGGAUAAUCUACAAAUGAGCAGUAGGUCCCAACUCAUUACCUUGUGAUUCCAAAUAUAAUGAGGGAGAAAUUCAAAAAUUUGCAAGUUUGGUGUGCGAGAGAAGAUGAUCUCGAUCGCUAAAACAUGUUCAAGAGAACUUGAUAUGUGGUAAACACAUCGAACAUGUCAUUCUUCCCAGAUGAAAUCCGGUACUUUAUUUAUAUUAUCAAUCCAUUACAUAAUAUAAACACACUAAUAAUUACACAAGUCCUAGUCAGAUGUAAUCUAGAACUGGACUAGAAUGUAAGUAGCAGUCAAACUAGGUACUAAACAGUACUAAAUAGAGUCUAAAACUGCACAAAUACAAUAAUUAAUAAUAUUGUUAAUAAAACAGAGAGAAAAAGAAGAAGAAAAUAUGAAUCUAGCCCAGAAGGAGGCGGCUGGAGGACACAUCAGGCGCCUGGGCCUGGGCCUCCAUGGCCUUUGGCCAGCCCACCCGCAGCCCCACUGCAUAAGAAGGAGGAAGCGGCGGUUACAGAUAAGGGCCUGAGAGCCGAAGCCCGCACUACCCGCUCGAUCCCCUUCCCUGCACGGCGCCGGCGACUGGAGUGGCCGCCACAGCCCCUCGCGGCGCCGGAGGUCACCACCGCAGCACCGACGAGCCUUCCUCGUCCAAAGAAGACGCGAUGAUGAUGGGGUCCGGGCGAGCACCCUCUGGUGCGGCGCUGGCGAGGUCGAGGCUCGCCGGAGCCCACGAACCAAGGCGACGGCGACGCGCCCGAAGAGACGCCCGAAGCAUCGUGUCGUGCGGCUGCUCGAGCCCGCUGCCGUCUCCUACUGAAGCGGGCGUUGGCGUUGACACCCUCCAUGCCGGCUCCAAGACGGACGACGUCGGAGGCGCCGGUUGGCGGAGAGACGAAGGCAAGCGCCUCCUCCUCAUUCACCACGGAGCGCAACGGCACCAGGGCAUAGCCAUGCGGGCGGCAGGCCGGCAGCUUGGGCCAGCGGCCACAGCAUCCGGCGUCGGCGUCAACGGCGGGAGCCACCCUGCUGAUGGAGGAGGGGGUGGAGGCGGAGACCCAGGGGGUGCGGCGCCGUGGACCAUAGGGGCGCUCGGACCGGCCCCAAGCCAUGGGUUAAGCCCCCUGUUCACUGACGACGCACGCGCGGCAGCGCCGAGGCCGUGCCCGUGGGCUUGGCGGGCACCAGGAGCGGCGCGUCCGUCGACGCCGUGGCCACGCCCAGCGACACGGUGACCACCACGGGUGCCACGUCCAGUGGCGCGGUGACCACAACGGCCAAUGGCGCAACGGCCGAAACGAAGGACGGACUGCAUCCUGCGACGGAAGCGUCGGAGGUCACCAAUGCCAUGGUAGCGACGACGGUAGCGACGAUCGUCCUCACGGAUCAGGCGGAGAAAGAAGGAAACAAGGCCAGGCAUCUCACCGGCGGCGAGUGCUCCCUCUCUUCUCCUUUCUCUGUUGCCUUUUUCGCUUCCGCUGGCUGUUCUACGUGCGUGAUAACGUGUUUGAGAUCGAAAGUGAAAUUUCUGUUUUUGUCGAUGGUUACACGAGCCCUUUAUAUGAUCUGAAGAGACACGACGAUCCUUCGAUGGGGCGUCGGAUCCAGGAGAUCGAAGGAAGGCGUCGGUUGCGGGACAAACCGCAACGACGGUUUGGGCAAGGGGAGAUUUUCCCUAAUUACAUAAUUAAUUUUAACACCAAAACACCAAGGCACGUAUCAGUGACCGGCGUGGGUUUGAAGACAGCCUCGUCAGCGCUAGAUUACGGAAUGGUGCUCAGGUCGUUGCCCGUGCGGGCCGGCCCGAUAAAUCGCUCGCUCGUUCCCUUGCCUAAAAAAAUGCUCGCUUGCUCGCUGCCCAUUCACCUACGUAUGUGUGGGUUAAAAAACAUUUUGUUGUGUGGUGGUCUGUUGUCUUAGAAAAAGGCACAUUUUUUGAUUAAUUUGAAAAAACUUGGUGAAACCAUAAAAUGUUCAUGGGUUUUACAAAAUGUUCAUGAAUUUGGUAAACUAUACCAAGGAUUUAAAAUAAGUUCCAUGAAUUUGAAAAAAAAUUAUGGACUCGAAAUAAAGUCCAUGGUUUUGAGAAAUGUUUGUAAAUUUGAAAAGGUUAAUGGAUUUACAUAAAAUUCUGAAAUUUGAAAAAACUUCAUAGAUUUUGGAAACGUUCAUGAAUUUUUAAACAGUUCAUGAAUUUUGUGAAUUCAAAAAAUGUUCAUAGAUUUUUUUUAAAGUUGUGGAUUCGAAAAAAAUGCAUAUUUGAAAAAAAGUUCAUGGAUUUGAAUUUUGGUAGAUGUGAUUUUUUUGCGGAUUUUCAAAAUGUUUGCAAUUUUUUAGAAAAGUUAGCAAAUUUUAAAAAUGUUCGCGAAAAUGAAAACAGCUCACUAUUUUAAAAUGAGAAAAGAAAAAAAGAGAACUAAAAAAUGAACAAGAAAAAGGGAAAAAAGAAAAAAAAGGAAACCCAAAAAGAAAGGAAAAAGAACACAGAAAUGAAACCCGAACAAAAAAACAAGUGAAAAAAACCCUGCAAAAAAGGCCCAAAAAACAGGUGGGAAGAGAGAUAUUGGGCCCUAGCCCACUUAGAGUUAAUGCAACAUGGUUUUUUUUUUCGCGCGGUGUAUCAUUUUGCAUUCUAGCGUACGUUUGUGUCCAAAGCUAAUCUGGAUCGAUGUUAGUAGUGGCCGUGCAAAUUGACGCCCGUCAAGUGAGUGGCCAUAUUACCAGUGAGUCAGUGACAAUUGUAAUCAUAUAGGAGUAGUAUCGAAGCUGGUGUCCAAGAAGGCACCAGUAUAUACUAAAGUUUUUUCCCCUCUCGCUAGGGUUCUCUCCUCUCGGUGCCAGCCGCCGUUGAGAAUACUACCGCCGCCGAUCCCCCUCUCCCGCCCCGACGCUCGGGCCGAUCUCGUGGCUCCCCCCCGCGAUCGAUCCCGGCCUUGGUUAGGGUGGAGAGGAACCGUCCCUGUGCCGUCUCGUCCUUCGGGUUUCCCUGGGGUUACGAUGGCGACGCCGUCUUCAUCACGCACGCAGGAGGAGAAGGAACUUGAGGAGAUGAUGGCUGAACUUGGGAUUGCUGAGGAGGAUUUGGAUGGUCUAGUUUUUGAAGAUGUGAUGUCGGAUGCUGCAGCCAACCCCCGCUGGCUCGCGAUUGGCAAAGUGCACACGUCCAAGGAGUAUGGCGACUACUGGUUCUACAAGAACAUGAGGAGUGCGUGGGAUUUAGCGCAAACAGUAAAGUUCAGAUCCUUGGGCGACAAUCUAUACACUAUGCAAUUUUCUUGUUUGGGAGAUUGGAUCAAGGUGAUGGAGGGUGGUCCGUGGGCCUUUAGAGGGCAGCCGGUGGUGCUUGCGGUCUAUGAUGGAUUCACAAAACCAUCCAUGAUUGAUUUGAACUGCUUUAAAAUAUGGAUUCAGAUACAUGAUCUGCCAGAUGGAUAUGGACCCUUGGUUAAACCUUUGGCUGCGAAGGUGGGGGCUCUAUGUGACGAUGAAGAUGACCCUGGUGACUUUGCUGGUAAUUUCUAUAGGGCCAGGGUUACCUUGGAUGUGAGAAAGCCUCUAAAAAACCAUGUUUCAAUUGUGAAAAAGAUGAAAAGGCAGAUUUUCAAGGUUAAGUAUGAGCGCCUUCCGGAUUGGUGUGCCGUUUGUGGGAUGAUUGGUCACUUAUAUACUGAGCAUGGGGAUGGUGUUCAUGACCAAAAAGCUUUGGUUUUCAAAGAACUGAGAGCAGGCUGGAGUAUGAGGGGAGGAGGUAGAGGAGGGGGCCAAACCCAGGAAUCUACUGAACACCCAGAAAAAUCAACAGCUCCAAAUGCUGCUAUGGACCUAGAUAAAGGGGCUGUGAUUGAGACACAGGAGGGGGAACAGAACAGAAAAAGGGGUGUUGCAAAUCCCUCGGAACAAGCUCCUCUGAAAAAUGAUCUGUUGUUACCAGGGCCGGGGGCUGUUCCUGCAAGUCCGCCGCCCAAGCAAGACUUGAAGAGAACCAAGUCUGAUAAUGCAUAUAAGAUCGUGGCCGGUUCUAAUGCUCAGAAGAAUGCUUCAUCUUUGGCGGGCUCCAUCGAGGAGCACCGCCGGAAUUAAUGGAUCUCAUGAGCUGGAACUGCCGGGGAGGGGGGAAUUCCCGGACAGUUCGUGAGCUAGCGACGCUAGUGCAGUCGCAUUCCCCCAGGAUGGUGUUUCUGUGCGAGACAAGACAAAAAGAAGAUAAAAUGAGAAGAUUGAGAGGCCGGCUGGGCCUCAAAGGAUUUACUAGUGUGGAUAGCAACGGCCUGAGCGGGGGCCUUGCCCUUUUUUGGCACGAAAGUCUGAUAAUAGAUAUUCUGGACAAGGAUGAUCGCUAUAUUGAUGUGGCAGUUCGGUUACAUGCUGACGCCGAACAGUGGAGAGUAACGUUUGUGUACGGGGAGCCGCGUGUUGAGAAUCGUCUCCUAAUGUGGCAGAAACUUCAAUCCCUGUUCAACACCUCGGACCUUCCUUGGUUGGUUAUUGGAGAUUUCAAUGAGUGUCUUUGGGAAUUUGAACACCUCUCAGCAACACCAAGAGCUGAAUCACAAAUGUUGGCCUUUCGUGAUGUGCUUGAGGUAUGUCAACUAGUGGAUAUUGGUUUCUCAGGUGUACCGUUUACUUAUGAUAAUAGGAGAAGCGGGACUGCAAACGUGCGUGUACGUUUGGAUCGUGUUGUCGCCUCUAGUGCUUGGCGCAAUAUGUUCGCUUUCUCCUCAGUGGCCCAUGUGGUGUCUCCCUGUUCGGAUCAUGUGGUUCUUAUUCUUAAGGGGACCCCGGACCCUGGGCCGAGCGCAGGAAGACGACGCCAGUAUGAAAUCUUUUGGGAGCGAAGUGGUGAGCUUCCCGAGUUGGUGCAGCAAGCAUGGGAGUCGGUGGGAGCAAUUGGGAACCUUGAACAGUUGCAGUCAGCCCUGAAGAAGACCAUGUAUACUUUGGGCAUAUGGAGUAGGAAAAAGUUUGGUAACAUAACCCGCGAGCUAGCCAAGUCCAGGUCACAACUUGAGGAAUUGAUGAAUAUGAAUGCCGAUUGUCAGGAUAUACGGCGAGUAACCGACAGAAUGAACGAGUUAUUAUAUCAGGAAGAGAUGCUAUGGCUCCAGAGGUCGAGAAUAAAUUGGCUGAAAGAGGGAGACAGAAACACGAAAUACUUUCAGAGCAAAGCGGUUUGGAGAGCUAGAAAAAAUAAAAUUCGUGAACUCGUGGACGAUAAUGGUGUUGCACAUUCUGAUGAGGCGACAAUGAGACAAAUGGCUAAUGAGUACUUCCAAGGAAUGUACACGGCUGAUCCGAACCUCAUCCACACUCCGGUUCUAAGUCUGUUUGAUGCAUUGAUAACUGAUGAUGAUAAUGCUAAGCUAUGUGCUCCUUUCAGUGAUGACGAAAUUUCGGAUGCCCUGUUUCAGAUCGAUCCGUUGAAGGCCCCGGGCCCGGAUGGUUUUCCAGCACGCUUUUUUCAGCGUAACUGGAUUACGCUACGGGACAGCGUAAUCACGUCAGUUAAGGAGUUUUUCAACUCGGGUGUGAUGCCGGAAGGGGUUAACUCAACCUCAAUCGUGCUUAUCCCAAAAGUCCCUAAUCCUUCGAAGUUGACUGAUUUCAGGCCUAUUAGUUUAUGUAAUGUAACCUAUAAGGUCAUAUCAAAGUGUUUGGUGAAUCGGCUGAGGCCAAUUUUGGAUGAUAUUAUCUCGCCGGAGCAGAGUGCUUUUAUACCCGGAAGAAUGAUCACGGAUAAUGCACUCAUUGCUUUCGAGUGCAUCCACCAUAUAAAGCAAGAAAAAGACCCUACCAGAAGUUUUUGUGCAUAUAAGCUCGACUUAUCAAAGGCAUAUGAUAGAGUUGAUUGGGUUUUCUUGAAGCAAAUGAUGCAGAAAUUGGGUUUCUCUCACCAGUGGGUGGACUGGAUUAUGACAUGUGUCACUUCGGUGAGGUAUUCGGUAAAACUUAAUGGAACCCAUCUAGAUUCGUUUGCACCGUCGCGUGGGCUACGGCAAGGUGACCCUCUAUCACCCUUCUUAUUCCUUUUCGUUGCUGACGGAUUAUCAGCCAUUCUGAAGCAGGAAGUUAAUAUUGGAAGUAUUAAUCCUAUAAGAGUCUGUAGAAGGGCGCCGGGGAUAUCGCAUCUUUUAUUCGCAGAUGACUCUUUGCUGUUUUUUGAGGCAACACAGGAUCAAGCUCUGAAAGUCAAGGAGAUUUUGGACCUGUAUGCUAGUGCUACUGGCCAGAGUAUUAAUCUGAACAAGUGCUCCAUACUAUUCGGUCCAGCAUGUUCAGAAGUUGCCCAGAAUGCUAUCCGUACUAUUCUGGAAGUUACUAAGGCAGAAUUUGAAGAAAAAUACUUGGGUCUCCCUACACCUGAAGGUCGCAUGUCUAAGGGACGGUUUCAAAACUUGCAAGCUUGUCUCAUUAAGAGGCUUAUACAGUGGGGAGAUGGGGGGCUGGCGCAGUCGGGCCGCAAAGUUCUCAUCAAAUCAGUUGCACAAUCUCUCCUGACAUACAUUAUGGGUGUUUUUAAGCUCCCGUUCUCAGUUUGUGAUGACCUAACAAGGAUGGUAAGAAACUUUUAUUGGGGCUCUAAAGAAGGUCGCAGAAAAGUACAUUGGAAGUCUUGGGAUUCUUUGUUGCAGCCAAAGUGUAAAGGAGGGCUUGGAUUUCGCGAUUACAGAAUGUUCAACCAAGCUCUCCUCGCACGCCAAGCUUGGAGACUGAUUGAUAGGCCGGAAAGCCUUUGUGCUCGACUGUUAAAAUCCCGGUAUUACCCGGAUGGCCAGCUUGAGGAUACGGUCUUUUCUGGUAAUGCCUCCCCAUCUUGGCAAAGCUAUAAGCUAUGGACUUGAGCUCCUGAAAAAAGGCAUAGUCUGGAGAGUGGGCAAUGGAUCAAGCAUUCGUGUUUGGAGAGACAAUUGGAUACCGAGACCCCAUUCCUUCAAACCGGUCACCCCUAGAGGUAACUGCCGCAUCCGUUAUGUGUCCGAGCUGCUUACUAACAAUGGGUCGUGGAAUAUGAACUUGCUGCAGAAUUAUUUUUGGCCUUGUGAUGUGAAUGAAAUCAUUAAAAUCAGAGCGUCUCCAAGGCUUGAAGAGGAUACAAUUGCAUGGGGACCAGGGAGAUUUGGACAAUUCUCGGUGAAGUCGGCGUAUGAGUUUGCUUUUGAGGAAGCCAACAGAGAAUCUCAACCUGCGUCUAGCACUAAUCCAGAGGGUUGCCGGGCCAUCUGGAACCUGAUAUGGAAAACGGAUGUUCCUCCAACAGUCAAAAACUUUGCUUGGAGAGUGGUCUCAGAUUCCCUUCCUACUUGGGUUAACAAGCAUAAGAGGACCUUAGAAAUCACCAGCAUAUGUCCGGUGUGUGGCGUGGACCGGAAGACAACUUCCAUCCUCUAUGUCGCUGCCCUAGAGCAAGAGAAUUAUGGUGCUAUAUGUCAGAGGUUUGGAACCUCCCAUCGGUGGAUACCAUUCAGAAUGUUGGGAAGGAAUGGCUGUUCCAAGUGCUACAGCCACUUCAUGAAUUAGAGAGGUCCAUGCUUCUUAUGACUCUCUGGAGAUGUUGGUUCAUUCGUAAUGAGAUAGUGCACAAUAAGAUUCCGCCUCCCCUUGAGGUAUCGAGGAGGUUCCUUGUCAGCUAUCUGGAGUCACUAAUUGCUAUCAAAAUGAACAUGCAUAUGGAUCCAGCCAAGGGGAAGUCAAUUAUCUCCUUUGAUCGCACGUUAACCCAUGCUGAUGCGCCCGUACCGGCCGCCCUGAAGUGGGUUGCACCACCGGAAGGGUGGGUAAAGCUAAACACGGACGGCUCUUUUCAUGAUGGUAGGGCAGGUGCAGGUAUGGUAUUACGGGAUCCUUCGGGGGAUGUAAUCUUUUCAGCUUGCAGAACACUUUACUCGUGUCGUGAAGCUUUGGAGGCAGAGCUGGGUGCUUGCAUGGAAGGUCUUUCUCUAGCGAUCCAGAGAAGUGAUCGUCCAGUGACCAUUGAGUUGGAUUCACUUGUUGCUAUAAAGCUAAUUCAAGGACAGGAGACAGAUAGGUCUAUUUAUGCUUCUUUAGUAAAAGAGAUUAGAUAUCUUUUAUCCCUUCGUGAAUGUUGUAUUACUCAUGUAAACCGGUCUCAAAAUCAGGUUAGCGAUAGUCUAGCAAAUUUUGCUCGUACCGAGGGAAGAACCAUGACUUGGAUUGGCUCUGGUCCCCCGAUAGUGCUUGAGCUAGUCGCCGCUGAUUGUAACUCUUUGUUGGCUUGAGUAAUACAAUAUUUCUACCCGCAAAAAAAAAGUGACAAUUGUAAUCAGUUUCCAGUAGUGGCUGCGCACAACAUAGGGUAAGUGUCCAUGGGCUAAGGCUGGUGAUAGUGAGGUCUAACUUAGACUAGUAAGAUACAUAUCUUACUAAUCCAUGUUACUACCUUUAUAAUGAAAAUUGUCAUAGGUGUAGUAACAUACAUGUCUUUAUUUAUUACUCCCUCCGGUCCUUUUUACUCUGCAUAUUAGGUUUGACUGAAGUCAAUCUCAUCCAACUUUGACCAAGUUUAUACAAAAAAUUAUAGACAUUCACAUAACAACACCAAUAUCAUUCGAUUCAUCUUGGAAUAUAUUUUCAUAUUAUAUUUAUUACAUAUUAUAGAUGCUAAUAAUUUCUAAUAUAAAUUUGGUCAAAAUUAGCAAAGUUUGACUUUCAAAAAAUCCAAUGUGCAGAGUAAAAAGGACCGGAGUGAGUACUUUGUAGACUCAUUUUGUAUUGGGAACCGCUAUGUGAUGGUAACAUAUUAUGUUACUUUAUUUGUCUCUUUCCUCUUUAAUUACAUGACACAUUAUUUUUUUUUCUUAUGUGGCAUCUAUGUUACUGCUUAUAUUACUUCCAUUAUGACUAGUCUAAGCGGCACAACUCACAUGAUGUGUGUUAGAAUUAAACACAUGUUUAAUUAGAAGGGAAUCUCCCCUUGUUAACUGCUGUACGGUUUCCUGAUGGCAACCGACGCAGCCUUUUUCUUGGCGUCCUUUGCCCCGACGCUCUCGCGUCCCUUUAUAUCAUCGCGUCCCUACGGGAUGUCUAUAUUGUAAAAUCAUAUGUUGCCACGCCGCGCCCGUCCGCGCCACCGGACUCGCGCCCUCCGCGCCGCGCCCCAGACCACGGCCUCUACGCUGCGACGCGCCCCGCCACCCGGCCGCCCGGCUGCGCUCCCUCCUGCCCAUGGCCGCUGCCCGGCCGCGCCGCGCUCCCGCGCUCUGCCGCGCCCUCGCAUGCGCCGAGCCCGCGCCACCUGUGCCGCCCGCGGAGACCGCACAGCCGGACUCCUCGCGUCUUCCAUCUCCGACGCCAGCGCACAAGGCAGUGGCCGCUGGGGCUUCUCCGUCGAGCGCUCGCCCCGGGCUGCGCCUCCCCGCGCGGGCUGCUGCGCUUGGGGACGUCUUCGACCACGGAGCAACCGGCUCCAUUGGCCCGUCGUCACCCCGCCGCUGGCACAUCGUGUCACGCGCCCCGCUGCAGCGCAGCCGCGCGUGAAUCUCAGGCUGGCCAAUGGCCACUCCAAUGGAGUCGCGCCUGGGACACACCUUCCUGGAGGAUCUUCGGAGGAGGAGGAUGAUGCGUUGGGGCCUUCAACUUCGCGCCCGUGAGCCAGCCGCCGGUGGCGGAGGUUGGUGGUGGUGGUGCCGACAGCCGCCGCUUGAGAUGGAUGAGGACGACUAGUCGAUGGGAACCAGAAACAUCCCGUCGCCUCCUUAUCCGGGCGUGCCUAUGGACUGGUGGUCUGGUGGAGAGCCAUCACGCUAGGCUAGUUGGCUAGUGGGCUCUAGCCCAUGCUGUACGAGCAGGGGAUGUCUUUCCUUGUCUCCCUCCUUAUCAUUUUGAUUGACCAGACUGCCUGACGUGGGCAUAUGUGCAUGCGGCUGGGAAUUUAGGCAACCGCUGCUUCUUUGUUUUGCUUAUUUGCAUCUUUGUUUUAGCAGAUUAGCAAUUAAUCUCCCAACAGCACUUCCAGCAGUAAUUUAUUUCUGUUUUAGACACUGCUAAUUACAGUACUUAAAUUUCAGUACUGUAAAUAUGUUGAGUACUAUGUAUUCCAUAUAAUAUGUUGAUGUAAUAUAUCUUCAUGUUUCUUACACGUUGAGAAUAAUUACAUUUAUUAUUUGCAAUUGAGAUAUUUUUUUUCUAUUAUCUCUUGCAAAGAUAAAUUCAGUACCUAUACAGUACUGAUUUGCGGUUGAGAAUUUUGUUCUCUCGCAAAACAAUCUCAUUGCGAUUGCUAUUACUUUUCUCUCGCAAAAUUAUUAAUUCAUCUCGCUGAAUUAUCUUGCAACUUGAUACAAGAUCAUCACAUUUUAAUUUGAGGUCUAUACAAUUCAAGUUUUUCACUUGAACAUCAAGUUUGCAACAGCACUAUUAUUCACUACAUUAGUAGUAUUUUUCUGUUGAGUACCGAGAUGUAUUCCAGAUCUUAAGUUGAUGUAAUACAUUUCCACGUUUAUCACGUGUUGAGAUUAAUUAUGUCAAUUUGCAAUAGAGAUUUUUAAUCUCUUGCAAAGGUAAAUUCAAUACCUCUGCAGUAUUGUUUCUCCGCUGAGUACGAGGUGCAAAAUUUAAAGUGGUUUCUUCAAAUUGAUGCUUGGGAUCACAAGAUAGUCAUGUGGAUCUACUGCCUACGUAGAUUAUCGAUGACUGCUGAUAAAGUCUGCAUUUUGUCAUUUUGACAUUAUGAUUGCUUUACAAAGUGCUCUCCCACACAUUUUUCUAAGUGAUGACAUAAGGCAUUACGAGUGAGUAUUUACUGAUUUCAUCAGAUUAUACUUCCUAGUGCUGCGAGAUCUACUUCAUUUUGGAGAUUAUCUUCAAGAUGUCAUACUUAGCAAUUUGAGAUUCACACUAAUGGUUUCAAGAUAACUUCUUGAAAUACCCAUUGAUUUUGCUAAUUUUAUUACAACAUCAAUCAUGAUGGUCUUUAAUUUACUAGUUGUAAAUUAAUUAUCUCUGGUUUACUCAUAGAGGUAAUAUAUGGCUAUAGAGUUUGAGGCAUGCGCCCUCAAUGGCUACCACUGCCCUAUCUGGGCCAUGGACAUGAUGAUCGCUCUUGUGUCUCGUGGAAUAAUGGGUGCAAUCCAAGACCGUAGGAUUUACCUCUGGUCGGAAUCACACCGCUAACGGAAAAAUAUGUUGCCUUAUAAAUCUUAAGGCAUUAUAUCAAUCCAGAUCUUAGCAUCUGGUUAUUCUGUAUCAGCUAUUCCUGAGAUGUAAAGAAUCUAAAGGUCAAAGGUUUGAAUCUCACUUCAUCCCUCCAACAUGACUAUCAGCAGUCACGGGACCCUAUGAGCACGGAGAACAUGAAGGUUGAAUAUGCAUCAACUAACAUGUUUGAAGACUUCGUCUAGUCUCUCAAUCUCCUGAGUGAUCAAUAAAAUUUAUAUCCAUUUCUGAUGUUCUAAUAAGAACAUAAGUAUUGUUGUCAUCAUAUAUUGUAUAUCACAAUAUAUUAUAUCAGCACUUUGGUACAAAUACAUUUGUAUGUAUUCUAUAUAACUGAAAGUGAUUUUGAAAGUGCAACUAUCCCUGGGUGGUUUUUGGUAAUUCCUAACAAUAUAUAUCUCAUUGAGCUAAUGCUACUUGAAGAUAAAUAUUUUAGAAAAAGCUCAAUGAUUGGCAUGGCAUGGAUUAGAAAGUGGACCCCUCAAAAUGCUAAGGACGGAAGGAUUGGAUCAAGCUCAAAGCACAAGAUUCUACAUUUCAUUUUUAGUGAUCCAAGAUCACAUUGAGUCCAUAGGAAAAGCCAAUACUAUUAAGAGGGGGUGAGAUGUUGCUUAAUGAGGUUCUUGCUCAAAAUGCUUAGUGAUAUGCUCCACAACCCUCAACCACUUUCUCAUAUCCAAAUAUAUCCCAAACCAAAAGUAAAAUCCGGCGCCACCGAGUUCACUUGACAUAGUGAUAACCCACAAGUAUAGGGGAUCGCAACAGUUUUCGAGGGUAGAGUAUUCAACCCAAAUUUAUUAAUUCGACACAAGGGGAGCCAAAGAAUAUUCUCAAGUAUUAGCAGUUGAGUUUUCAAUUCAACCACACCUGGAAACUUAAUAUCUGCAGCAAAGUAUUUAGUAGCAAAGUAAUAUGAUAGUAGUGGUAACGAUGGCAAAAGGUAACGGUAGCAAAAGUAAUAUUUUUGGUGUUUUAUAGUGAUUGUAACAAUAGCAACGGAAAAGUAAAUAAGCGAAGAACAAUAUAGGAAAAGCUCGUAGGCAUUGGAUCGAUGAUGGAGAAUUAUGCCGGAUGCGAUCGAUCAUGUAACAGUCAUAACCUAGGGUGACACAGAACUAGCUCCAGUUCAUCAAUGUAAUGUAGGCAUGUAUUCCGAAUAUAGUCAUAUGUGCUUAUUGUCGGGGGUUGGGUGCAACAUAUGCCAAAGGAUGGCUAAUCAUGGUGGGAGCGAGUAGAACGUCGCCAGCGCCUGAAAGCGGGAUGAGGCGUAGACAUAAACGCCGGCGUACUUUACCCAGGUUCGGGGCUCUCCUAGGAGAUAACACCCCUAGUCUUGCUCUGCGGGGUCUCCGCAUGAUCACUAAUGCGUAAGUAGUACAACGUUGAUCUUCGAGCUGUUUGCUAGAGGUGGAAGAAGGCAGGCACGCUUUCUUCUCCUCUAGAUAUGAGUCUAGUCCUAACAGGGGCCGAAUCCUUUGCAUGGGUGUCCUGGGGGUUUAUAUAGGCCUACCCCCUAGGGGUACAAUGGUAAUCUGGCCGGGCGUAGGGCCCGGUCAUCAUUCUCUCUGGUCGCCGGCCUCUUGGCCAACAGCUGGGGCCCGCCGCCUGGUCUGGUACGGAGCCAACAAGCCGCUCCCGCCGCUUGCGGGUCUUGCCGGCUGUUGAUCAUUGUAGCUGUAACGCUAAUGACACAGGCUUGGUCGGGGAGGCGUGGCUACAGUCCCGCUGCCUGGUGGGCGAUCACUGUUGCCACUCCGUGUCUCAUCUGGUUGAUGGCGCAUGGGGCCCAAGGGAGGGAUUGGCUGCCUGCUGGUAGCCGGCUCCUCUGAGGUCUGGCUGCCCCAGCCUCCUCCGACUUUAGGGCUCUGGCUGCCAGGUAGGGCCCGCCGUCUACGAGUCGUACCUGACAGGCCUUCGUGGGAACAUGACUCCGCCUGUCAGGUGUGACGUGUGGGGGGGGGAGGCAACAGUGUCGCGUCGUGCGGAGAUCUUCGCCUGUACGGGGCACUGUGGCCACGCCCGUCCCAGGAUUCGGGGGGAAGGCUUGCACUGUAGCCGUACCCGUCUUGUUUCUUUGAUGAGGGCGCAGACUUUGAGGGUGCCACGGGCCGACUGCUAGGAGCCGGCCUCUCUGGAGGCCGCUCUCUAGGAGUCGGCCCGUCGGGAUGCCGCCCUCCAGAACUCAGCCGCCCUCGACUAGUCGGCCGCUUGGCCAACCCGCCGCCAGAAGGCGGAGUCUUUAUCUUGACGUCUUUGAGGGGCGCAGCCGGCCCCUUUGUCUUGAAAGGCUCGAGGGCUCGGGUUAGGCUACCCGUGGCCCAUUACUCCGACAGUAGUCCCCGAAGCUGGUAAGGGACUGAGGGGCCACGGUUGAGGAGCCGGGGAGCCUCAACAGUUUCCUCUUCUGGGUGCCCUGAAGGAAGCUUCGUCCAACUCAUGUGGAGCCGGCCGGUGGGAAUCGGUUGCGUCCGGUUGGAUCCUUCUGGGAUUUGGAAUGCGUUGGUGGGAAUCGGGCGGUGUGCUUGAUAAGCUUCUUUGCCUGCCGUCUGUCGCGGGCAUGCCACAUGGCGCUGGCUAGCCGGGUCAUCCUGCCACCCCACGCGCAUGACGGGACGCGACCGAAGGCCGGGCCCGCCACCACCGGGCCUCGGGUGGCGAGCGGAUCCGCGGCGGCCGAGGUAGGCGGUUGGGCUUCUCCGGGAAGUUAAUGCGCGUGAUAUUCACGCGGCAAAUGUGGGAGCGUGGGGUCAUGGGCACAGUUAAUCCCACGUUCCCACGCCCACCCCCUCGGCUUCGUAGCCCGUAGGCUAUAAGUAGGGGGAGGAGAGGAAGAGGGAACGCACGCGCGCCCCUCCGCCCCACUCUUUCUUCCAUUUCUCCUUCUCCUUGCUGCAGCGCCCGAGCCUUGCCGAAGCGCCGCCGCAGCUUGUCUCCAUCGAGCUCGUCCAUCCACUCAUCGUCCUCAUGGCGCGCACCGGAGCCUGGGACGGCUCCACAGUUCACGAGGACCACAUCGAUUUCCUCCGCCAGACGCGGCGGCUGCCCCGCGCGGACUACGUGGGGGUUCGUCUUGCGCCGAAGGGGGAGAUAUCGCCAGCGCCGGAGGAGGGCGAGCGGGUCAUCUUUCGCUCGCACUGCCUGCGCGGCCUCGGCCUGUCAACGAGCGGCUUUCUCUGAGCCUUCCUCGAAUUCUACAAUCUCCAGCCGCACCACCUCACCCCGAACAUGGUGGUGCUGCUGUCCGCCUUCGUCACCUUGUGCAAAGGCUUCCUCGGCGUCCUCCCCACCAUCGAGCUCUGGGGGGGUUCUUCUACACUAAGCUUGGCACCGUCGUCGCGGGGGUGCCGACUCAGUGCGGCGCCUUCAUCGCGGGGCGGAGGCUAGGGCCCGACAAUCCAUUUCUGUGACGCCCCAAGACCGGAGCUUCAGAUGCCUUCCAGGAUUUCCGAGAUUCCGUCGUGUGACUUGUUUGGUUCUUUACACUCAUCAUUACAUCGUUUGCAUUGCAUCAUGUCAUCUUGCCAUCAUGUCUUUUUUAACUCAACUAAAUAAAUGACAUGGAUCUUUGAUUCAUUUAAAUCGAGGGAAUUCACAUGGUGAGUUCUCUUUAUAACACAUAUCCUCCCGAUAGUAGGGAGCUAUAUUAAAUAUUUCUUUAAUUUGAAAUCCACCAUAACACACUUGCAAAAUCCCAAUGCCUUUGUUAUCACAACUCUCGGCCUCUAACUUUGCCAUAUAUCCUUUCGUCAUUUUCCGGAGCUCCACCUAAAAAUCUCAACAUUUUUGGUCACUCCAAAAACCUCGUCCUAGUUCAAACCCAUUUGAAGUAAAUUGAAAUGAGUUUGAAUUCUUAUCGUUCGAACUGGCCUUUUUCUAAUUUUCUCAGAACAAGCAUAUUUUUGUAAGUUCGUGAAAAUUAUCCCCAUGUCCAGAUUCCACCCCUACCUUCUCUUUCUUUUCUUUCUCCUUUUCUGUUUUGUUUUAAAUGGGAAAAGUGAUAUAGAGAGUGAGAGGCGGCCUGCAUCCGUGCCAAGGCCCAUGUCCUCUAAGGCCCACCUAAUCCCGUCUAAACCCUAACCCGACCGAACCCCACUCCCUCUCGAUCCCCACUCCUCUUCUCUUCCACCUCGACUCAGAAGAGGAGCCCCGCGCCCGUUUCCCCAGCGCCGCCGGUGACAACCAAGCCUCCCCUCCCGGCGCACCUCUUCUCCUUCCUCCGCCUAGAACCUGCGGAACCCGCAGAGCCCCGCGCCCCUGGCAUCCCCACGCUCGUCGCCUCCCCUUCGCUCAAGCCCUGCAUCCCUGCCGAGGCGAGCGCCAAGUUCCAUCGCAAGCCGCCGCCCGGACCAGGCCGUCCCCGCGUCGUCCCUGCCGUUAAGAUCGUCGCCCGCAACGGCGCAGCCGCUACGUUCCCCUGCUUCACCGGAGUUCCUCGCAGCCAGACCCUUCCUCGAGGAGCGCCGCUGUCCUGCUGCCAUGUUCCGCCGCUGCCGGCUGCCGCCUCGUCACCACGCGGUUCUCCUCGCUGCUCCUCCCCGAGCUGGAGCCUCCUCUCCUCCCUGCGCCCUUCGCCAAGGCCGCCCAUCCAUGGCUGCUGCGUAGCCCCGACCUUCACCGCCGCCUACUGGAGUAGGACAGUGCCUCCGCUAUCACCACCGGCGACCGCGCCACCCAGGCCCUCGUGACCUCAAGUCCCUCGCCGUACAAGUUGCUCUGCUUUGCCGCCCCUGCUCCGACCUGCAAGCUCCGCCGCCGCUCACCCUUGGCGCCAUGGCCUCUGCCUGCUUUGGAUGACCCGUUGCCGCCGUGCACAACUUAUGCCGUGCCCUGUUGUGCGUGCUCUUCGCAGCCUGUCACUGUUGACGUGAAGACCGUGGGUGCCAAGUUCCUUUUCCAGAGUCGUUAAAGUGCACGAGGACCUCGAUGUACGACUACAUGAUGACGCGCCAAGUUUCCCUCCGACCGUGUACAACUGCUCACGCUAAAGACCAUGUAUACCUCUACCGUUGCCAAGUAGCCCUCGGAUCCGUCAAGUUCCACUACCCUCUUGUGCACCACUACCGUCGCCCGGAAGACGUUGGAGUCAUCAAGUGCCUCUUCGAACGGACGUGAACGACUACCGUCGCAAGAACGGGACCGGCAAGUCCGAAGAUCCCAAGUACCACGACAACCCCGAAGGGGUUCGAGUUCGUCAAGUUCACCUUCGAAACGUGUACCACUACCGACGACUGAGACCCUGGAUUCGACAAGUUCCUCACGGCGACCCUGAACAUCUACGGGACAUGCACGACUUCAAACCGUGUACCACGUCGAACAUGUACGGCUACACGACGAACCGCCAAGACCCUAAACGACUACCGCCGCCGAAGUCCGCGAGUACAACUACUUCCACAACGCGUCGUGUACGACUACCGUCGCUUGGGUUUGACAAGACUCCGAGUACCAAUACGUUUGCCAUGUACAACUACACCAAGUUCGGACCGACAAGUGCCUUGAGAACGUCUGUACCUCUUCCGUCAUCGAGGUCCGAAAGUACCACUACGUCCCAUCGAACCCGAACCGUCUCGUUUGCACGCUUCGAAGGUAUAACCCCGAGACGACGUCCGUGAACGAAUGCUUGCGAUGUUUGAGAUGCUCGUGUUUGCAUCGUGUCCAAAUUGUCACUUGUUCCUUGUCGCCAACUCGUGGGACACCCGGUAUCCGAGAGUGCCCCACCUUCUUUUGCUCGCUCCCGCCACUUUUCCUUUUGCACCGGUAUCCCCGUGAGCUACCGGAACCGAUAUGGUGCCGUGUCAUCAUUUUUGGAUUCGUCACCGUGGCACCCUUUUCUUUCCACCACGGUGACAAAUGCUUCAUAAUGCUCUUGUCAACUUUUAAUAAAAAUUGCAUAAAACUUGCAGAUGUCGUCCACAUCAUGAUAACAACAUCAAGAAUGUUUAAAUUAUUGUUUGCAUUAAUUGCUAAAUGCAUAUGAGGAUUUACCGGAAUUGUUGUUUGAUGUUUCCGGCCUCAUUUAAAAUGCCUAACUGUGUAUUUUACUCAUGUUUCACCUCUUGCCAUGCUUAACAACAUUUAAUAUUGUUGAGUGCAUAAACGAGAUCGAACUAAAUAACUGGUUGUGGUGUUUCGUCAAUAUGCAACUCGUUGCAUAUUGAGCUCCACUUAACUUUUAGUUUUGCUUGUGCACUUUGCCAUGUCAUGCCCUCAUUAAACCGGACAUGCAUCAUACUUGGUUGUGCAUCAUGCCAUGAUUAUGUGUUGGUUGUUUAUUUUGUUGUUUGCCCCUUUCCGGUGUUGCUUCUUCGGGUUAGUUUCGAUAACGUCACGUUUGUGAGGAUCCGUUCGACUACGUCCGUUUGUCUUCUUCAUGGACUCGUUCUUCUUCCUUGCGGGACUUCAGGCAAGAUGACCAUACCCUCGAAAUCACUUCUAUCUUUGCUUGCUAGUUGCUCGCUCUUUUGCUAUGCCUAUGCUGCGAUACCUACCACUUGCUUAUCAUGCCUCUCAUUUUGUUAAGCCAAGCCUCUAACCCACCUUGUCCUAGCAAACCGUUGUUUGGCUAUGUUACCGCUUUGCUCAGCCCCUCUUAUAGCGUUGUUAGUUGCAGGUGAAGAUUGGAGUUUGUUCCUUGUUGGAACAUGGAUAUUUUGUUGGGAUAUCACAAUAUCUCUUAUUUAAUUAAUGCAUCUAUAUACUUGGUAAAGGAUGGAAGGCUCGGCCUUAUGCCUGGUGUUUUGUUCCACUCUUGCCGCCUUAGUUUCCUUCAUAUCGGUGUUAUGUUCCCGGAUUUUGCAUUCCUUACACGGUUGGGUUAUAAUGGGAACCCCUUGACAGUUCGCUUUGAAUAAAACUCCUCCAGCAAGGCCCAACCUUGGUUUUACCAUUCACCACCUAGCCUUUUUCCCUUGGGAGUCGUGCAUCCCGAGGGUCAUCUUUAUUUUAACCCCCCGGACCAGUGCUUGUCUAAGUGUUGGUCCAAACUAGAGCCCCUUGCAGCGCCACCUCGGGGAAACUCGAGGGCUGGUUUUAGUUGUACGGAUUGCUUAUUCGGUGUGCCCUGAGAACGAGAUAUGUGCAGCUCCUAUCGGGAUGUCGGCGCAUCGGGCGGUCUUGCUGGACUUGUUUUACCAUUGUCGAGGAUGUCUUGUAACCGGGAUGCCGAGUCUGAUCUGAUUGUCUUGGGAGAAGGAAUAUCCUUCGUUGGCCGUGAGAGCUUGUGAUGGGCUAAGUUGGAACACCCCUGCAGGGAUUUGAACUUUCGAAAGUCGUUCCCGCGGUUAUGGGCAGAUGGGAAUUUGUUAAUGUCCGGUUGUAGAAAACCCGAAGUUGAUCUUAAUUAAAAUACAUCAACCGUGUGUGUAACCGUGAUGGUCUCUUCACGGCGGAGUCCGGGAAGUGAACACAGUGUUGGAGUAAUGCUUGACGUAGGUUGUUCUAGGAUCACUUCUUGAUCAUAGUUUCUCGACCGUGCUUUGCCUUCUCUUCUCGCUCUCAUUUGCGUAUGUUAGCCACCAUAUAUGCUAGUCGCUUGCUGCAGCUCCACCUCAUACCUUUUACCCUUCCUAUAAGCUUAAAUAGUCUUGAUCACGAGGGUGUGAGAUUGCUGAGUCACCGAGACUCACAGAUACUUCCAAAACCAGCUUGCAGAUGCCGUUGAACCGUGCAGAUGACGCAACCAAGCUCAAGGAGGAGCUCGAUGAAGAUCUUGUCCUUUGUGUUGUUUCGUUCUAGUUGAUCAGUAGUGGAGCCCAGUUGAGACGAUCGGGGAUCUGUGUAGCAUUUGGGGUAGUCUUCUUUUAUUUUGGUUCCGUAGUCGGACCUUGAUUGUAUCUAGUUGAUGUAAUGCUUUAUUCAUGUAAUUGUGUGAAGUGGUGAUUGUAAGCCAACUAUGUAUCUCUUUCCCUUAUGUAUUACAUGGGUUGUGUGAAGAUUACCUCACUUGCGACAUUGCUUACAAUGCGGUAAUGCCUCUAAGUCGUGCUUCGACAUGUGGGAGAUAUAGCCGCAUCGUGGGCAUUACAAUUUCCUCCCAUCACGCUGAUGCAAUCAGUGAAGUUGUGGCAGCAGUCGUACUUUUACGUGAAGAGCAUCUUCGCGGAGGGUGACUGGGUCAACCUGCCGGCUUAUGUUGCCGGCUCGCCGACUGGGAAGCGGCCUAACUGGUCAUACCGGGCCAAGACGCUGUCGCCUUCGGGAGCCGCCGCCGUCGCACGGCUCUGGGUGAUGGUACAGUCGGAGGGCCUGACCGGGUCCGACUUGCUGUCCGCCUUCGUGGCGCGCCGGGUGCUCCCGCUCCAGGGCCGCCCUCACAUGAUAAGUCAGAUGAGCGGUCAUCGGGAUCCAAGUCGGCUGUGCACCAAAGAGAUGCCUCACUCAGAGGUAGCUCACAUGGUGAACUACCUUGCAAACUGCAAGCUCACGAAGGAGUGGUAGUUUGGCAAGGAGCCGUAUUCCCGUGCCAACCCCCCGCCUAUGAUAAUUUUCCCUUCCUUUUGUUUUUCUUCCUCUUUGUCGGGUUCCAUUUGCCUAAUCUGACUAGUCGGCUCUUUGGACAAAGCGCCCUCCUCCAGCCGGCAGCCGGCGCCGCAGGGCCGGAGCGCCGAUUUCUCCCCGAUCAAGCGGAGUGCGACGUAGAUGACCCCGACUUGGGGGCGGCGGCUUUGGAGGACGACGUCAAGGGAGGAGCCGGCGCCGCGGGCGGCUCGGGGCUCGGAGCCAGCCUCGAGGACUGGCCAAAUGACGACGCGGGGGAAGUUGUCCCGCGUCGCCAGCCGGGCUCCGACCAGUAGGGCACGAGCUCGUCUGGCGCGCCGGCAGCCCGAGCCGGCACGCAUAAGCGCAGAGCCGCGUCGAGCCUGUUUGGCAGCUGGCCGAAGAAACCCAGGGGCUCGGCUGCGGCGACCAAGCAGGACGAAGCGUCCGCUAAAGCCGACCACUUCCGCAAGGUGGUGAAGACGCCGCCGCUGGUUUCUGCGUAAGUUCUGACUUCCUUCGUACUUUCUUCUUUCUUGCCGAUCUCAUCCGAGUCUUCUCUACUCCGUUCCCUUUGAUUUAGGGCCCCACUCGUUCUUGAGAAAUCGGCCGCUGCCUCCAUCGUGAGGUCGACGGAGACCUCCACCACCACCCAGCGGAUCGAUCCGGCCGCCGACCUCCGGGAGGCGACGGAGCGGAAUGCGCGGGAGGCGCACGAGGAGGCCGCCCGCCUGGAGAAGGCGGAGGCGGACAAGGCGGAGGCCGCCGCCCUGAAGAAGCUGGCGGUGGCCGAGGCCGCUGAUGCGGCGAAGAAGCGGGCUGAAGAAGCCGCGCGCCGUCAGUCGGCGACGUUCGUCGUCCCCCUGAACUCUGCGCCGCCACCACCGGAGUUUGUGGCACAGACUGGGGAAACCGAUAGCGAGCACCCUAUCAUGGAGACGGAGGGCGGCGACGCCGCCAUUCUGGAUGUAAUCAUGCCCCCACCACCACCUUUUGAGGAGGCACGAGACAAGCAGCCGGGCGACCCACCGGUGCCGCCGGCCGGAAAUGAGAUGGUGACUGGCCCGACUCCCAGGGCUCGCACACCCUUGCGCCGCCGGUCUGUGAAGGCGGCCUCGGCGCCACGCCCACUGGAGGUCAGCGCCGCGAGCUCCUCCAUCCUAGACACCGAGGCGACCAGCGUCGCGCCUGCUGGAUGGGCGCGGGAAGGCGGGAUGACCCACCUGAACAAGGCGGUCCUAGAGGUCCAAGCCAAACUCCGCGCCUAGGCUGAUGCUCUCAAGCAUUGCAACAAGGCAUUCCUGGAGUCGCGAGAGGCCAUCCAGGUAUACCUCUUGAUCCUUUAUUUUCAAUUUUCGUAUUGCUUCAUGGGGGCGCGCCAGCGCACCCACUGGGUGUAGUCCCCGAAUUCAGGGCCGGCUGCUGAGCAGGCGGCCUGAAACUCUAACUCGCAAGCUCCAAGUACUAAUAUAUUUGCUGUAGGGCUAUCAUAACCUCCGCGCGGCCGCCUUCAACUCCAGAGUCUAGGAGUUGGACCAAUGCGCCGCCGACUUGUCGGAGAGCCAGAGUAAGUCCUCUUCUUUCUGCGGGGGUGCGCUGGCGCACCCGCGGGCUGUAAUCCCCGAGAUCCGGGCUGACUACUGAGCAGUCGGGUCGGAUCUUCCUGGCGCUACAUCUUUCUUUGCUGAUUAUUGUCGUUUCCUUCUUUUUCUGAUUUUGCAGAGGCCAACGCCAUCCUUCAACGGCAACUGGGAGAAGCCAACGUCGCGCUGCAUGCCAAAGAGGUGGACUGCAACAAGCUGGCUGAAGAACGUGACCGGCUGGCCAUGCAGCUGGCGGAGCAGGCGGGGCUUCUCCAGAAUGCCCAUAAGGAGGCAGAGGACAAGGAGGCGGGUCUUCUCGCUGAGUUCGAGAUCGAACGCUCCGCCUGUAUAGACAAGGAGGCGAUGCCGACGGUCGACUUUGGUGAAAUCGAGGAUAUGGUUGACGGUAGGCGACCUUCUUUACUUUUCUUUUAAGUCACCAGCCUCUAGCCAAGCCGGCUUCUUCUCUUCUUGUUCUGACUCUUUUGCUUAGUCCUGACAGACUUCUUUCCAGGCCACUCUGGUGCCGCCAACUAGGCUAUCGAGGCCGACCGUGAAGAACGAAGGGCGGAAGGCGAGAGGAUCGUCGCCAAUGCCCCUUGCACCCUUCGCGAGCAGCUUCUCAGCAUCCAGCCCCGUCUUCGACCGACUCAUCGGAUGCUGCGCCGCCUUCAGCGUGUCGGCGCCCAGGCAAUCGUCGCCUUGUGGCAUGACAGGCCGGCCCCGCGCACCCCCAACCGGACUGCCGACUGGCUGGAGGUGGCGGAUGGCCGCCUUAAGGCGUGGAAGGGCUCCUCGGCCCGGGCCGGAGCGCGCCAAGCCUUGGAGUUCAUCAAGGCAUGGUACCCUGGGCUAGAUCUAGCCCAGUUGACAAUGUUCCGACAGGAGGAGCUGGUGGCGGUGGAGGGAGAACUCGUCAAGCGGGCGGCGGCCAUCGCCGAGUACACCGUCGCCGGAGUCUUUAUCCCGGAGCCGGCUAAGGACGGCACCGAGGCGCCGCCAGAAUGGUUCGGGCUGAACCCGGAGGAGGGCAAGGACUCGGCCGAGGUGAUCGACUCCAGUGACGAGGGAGAAGACGGGGAGGAGGAGGAAGGCGAAGAGGAGGCGCCAGAGGUCGGAGCGGACGGCCAGCCCCAACUCGACCGCGCCUCCAGCAACGAACUGCGCCCGAAUGAGCCGGCUGCCACUGGAGGGGACCAAGCGGGGACCGACCAGCCGUCCGCUCGUCCAGCCAGCGCCACCGACUCCACCACUCCGCCGAACCCGUCCGCCAAUCCCUAGGCUGCCACUUUACUUUUUAUUUCUCCCUGUUUAUUAGCCUCAAUGAACUUGGUUAGCUUCGCACAAUUCCACCCGCGGGGUGUAUUUGAAACUUAUGUUAGAUGUCGGCCAAGGGCCUUUGAUGUGUAAAUAUUUUAUCCGAGUUCUACCUUUCCUUGCCUUCUACUCUUUUGGCUUUUUCCUUUGCCGCCUUCCCUUGGUUGCCGUCUUGCCAGCCGAACAGCCGCUCUGCGGACUAUGGCUGGGUUAAGUACUUAGCUACUUUUGGGAAGGCAAGUACUGGGCCGGCUAGAGUUUUCUUGGCAAGUUAAGUAAAAACCGGUCGGCCGAUUGCUCGGCAAUCGGUUGGUGCGGCGAGAAGCCGGCUUGGACUAUGUCAAUGCCUUAAGUCCUUAGCCAUUUUUCAUGCAGGCGCCCUUUUCGCCUUGACUCCUGUCGACCGAACAGCUGCUCUGCAGGCUGCGGCCUCUGGCAGGAGAAAGCUAGGGUGCUGACACACUACUUGUCCGGCUGCAGGAAGCAUCUCAUAGUACAAGGCGGCAAGUCCCCGGGUCGACUGGUCAAACCCGGUGCGAGACAGAUUAAUGAAAUAACACAAACGAAAGGCGUAAUACUUAUCAUAUAGACAAAAGAGGGCAGUCCCCGAGCUCUUCUCGGGGGACGCGGAGUCUUUGUACUUAAUACAAAAGUCAGCGUGAUACAUAGUGCUUUUUAGCUGUAAAACCUUCGAAGAAGGUUCGCAUCCAUGGUCGCUCUGUCUCCUUGCCGGAGUCAUCUCUUUUUCGUGAUCAAGGCUUCUGAGCGUUGAUGAGGUAGUAGGAGUCGUUACCCAACAUCUUGCUGAUGAUGAAGGGGCCUUCCCAAGGUGCCGAGAGCUUGUGCUGGCCGGCUGUUCGCUGGAUCAGCUGGAGCACAAGGUCUUCUUCUUGGAAGGAUCUUGGCUUGACCUUUCGGUUGUAGUAUUGGUGCAAGCUCUGCUGGUAGAUGGUGGACCUGCUGAGUGCCAACAGGCGGCCCUCUUCCAGAGAUUGACGUUGUCUUGUCGUGCUUCUUCUGCCUCCUCUUCGGUGUACAUGGUGACUCGAGGGGAGUCGAAUUCUAUGUCCGACGGGAUGACGGCUUCGGCACCGUAGACGAGAAAGAAAGGUGUAAAGCCGGUUGACUUGUUCAGAGUUGUGCGCAGGCUCCAGAGGACGGCCGGAAGCUCGUCGAGCCAGCAGCCGGCCGACCGCUCCAGAGGCUCGACCAGUCGGGGCUUGAUGCCAGAUAAAAUGAGGUCGUUUGCUCGCUCCACCUGGCCAUUUGACUGCGGAUGGGCAACAGACGCUAGGUCCAGUCGGAUGCCCUGCGUCGCGCAGAAACGGGCCAAGGCACCUUUGGCGAAGUUCGUGCCAUUGUCGGUGAUUAUGAUGUGUGGUAUGCCAUACUGGAUGGUGAUGUCGAAGAUGAAAGUCACAACAGUCGAACCAUUCAACUUCUUGAUUGGUUUUGCUUCUAUCCACUUGGUGAACUUGUCCACCGCGACAAGCAGAUGAGUCAAGCCACCUCUUGCUGUCUUGAAUGGUCCCACCAUAUCCAGGCCCUAGACAGCAAAGGGCCAGGCGAUGAGAAUAGUCUUGAGUGCAGAAGCCGGCUGGUGACGCUUUGAACGAAACUUAUGGCACCCUUUGCAUUUCUGGACCAAGUCAUUGGCGUCUUCUAGGGCAGUCGGCCAGGAAAACCAUGGCGGAAAGCCUUGGCCACCAGAGCCCUUGAGGCCGCGUGGUGACCACACUCGCCCUGAUGGAUAUCUUUGAGGAUUGCCUGGCCUUGCUCUGGCUUGACACAGCACUGGUAAACACUAGUGACACUGUGCCUCACAAGCUCUCUGUUGACUAUGGUGUAUGCUGCCGCCCGGCGUUGCACUUGCCGGGCCGAGAUCUCGUCGGUUGGCAGCUCUUUUUUCACCAAAAAUUUGAGGAUGGGCUGGGCCCAUGAAGGUGCUGCAAUUUCUUCGAUCGCCAGGACUGCCACUUGUACGAGGGCGGCUGGGCUAGGAGGUGGUGGGUUGGAGUCGGCCACCGCUUGCUGAGUUGAUGAAGUCCCCGGGCCGACUGCUGCAGUCCCCGGGUUGUCCGCCGAAGUUCCCGCGUCGGUUGGCGGGGCUCUCAAGUCGGAUCCGACUGCUUCAGGAGGAGCCAGCACAAAUAUAGAAUCUGACUCUGGUGAUGGCUUGACGGACGGCUUGAGGAGUCGUUGCAAGGCAACGCCGGUUGGUAUUGCUUGCCGGGUGGAGCCGAUUCGUGCCAAGGCGUCGGUUUGCUCAUUGUCAUUUCUUGGCACAUGAAGGAACCCCCACCCUUCGAAGUAUCCACUGAGUUGCUGUGCGAGAAAGCGGUAGCUGGCCAUAUUUGCAUCCUUUGCGUCCCAGUCGCCUGAUGACUGCUGGACCACCAAAUCGGAGUCUCUGUAACACAGGAUCCGGCGAAUGCCGAGUUCCUUGGCCAACCGGAGCCCGUGAAUGAGUGCUUCGUAUUCAGCAACAUUGUUGGAGGCGGCAAACUGAAUUUGCAGCGCAUAUCUGAGCUUGUCGCCCUUGGGGAAGUGAGAACGACGCCGGCUCCCAAACUGGUGCGCAUUUUUGAACCAUCGAAAUGCAUCCGCCAAUGGGUGGAAUCUGGCGCUGGUGGCAAGUACUGGGUCUCGGCCCAGUCGACGAGGAAGUCGGCCAGUGCUUGUGACUUGAUGGCGGUGCGAGGCUGGUAAUAGAUGGUGUAGGGGGUAAAUCUAUGGCCCACUUGGCCACUCGGCCCGAGGCAUCUUGACUUCCAAUAAUCUCAGCGAGCAGAGCUGUGCAGACCACGGUGAUUUGGUGCUCUUGGAAGUAUGGCUGCAGUCUCUUGGCAGCAAAGUGCACACCAUAACACAUCUUCUGAUAGUGGGGGCAGUUCUGCUUGGAGGCGGACAGUACUUCGCUUAGGUAAUACACCAGCCUCUGGAUUGGUAGGGCUUUGCCUUCUUCUUUCCGUUCCACCACUAUGACGGUGCUAACCACCCGGCUGGUAGCGGCAAUGUAGAGGAGCAUGGGCUCCUUAGGAGUUGGGGCCGCCAAGACAGGCGGGGUGGUCAACAUUUUCUUGAGCUGGAGAAAAGCUUCAUCCGCCUUGUCGUUCCACUUGAAAAAGGUGGUUUUCUUCAUGAGAUGAUACAGGGGAAGGGCCUUCUUGCCCAGCCGACUGAUGAAACGGCUGAUAGAUGCCAAGCAGACGGUGAAUUUUUACACAUCCAGCAGUCGGGUGGGCACCUCCAUCCUCUCGAUGGCCUUGAUCUUCAUAGGGUUGCACUCUAUGCCGCGCUCUGAGACCAGAAAGCCAAGAAGUUGGCUGGCUGGUACCCCAAAGACACACUUCUCUGGGUUGAGAUUGAUCUGAAAUCGGCGUAAGUUCUCGAAAGUCUCCCCGAGAUCCUCCAGUAGCGUCCCACGCUUCUCUUUCUUCACCACCACAUCAUCUACAUAGACAUGAGCGUUUCUGUCGAGUUGUUUGAGGAGACACUUCUGCAUGCAACGCUGAAAGAUGGCGCCGGCAUUUCUCAAGCCGAACAUCAUGGUCAGGUAGUAGAAGGCUUCAAAUGGUGUGAUGAAGGCGGUCUUCAUCCUGUCGGCCGGGACCAGCUUGAUCUGGUGGUACCCGGAGUAUGCAUCCAAAAAACUCAACAGCUCGCAUCCGGCUGUGGAGUCGAUCACUUGGUAGAUUUUGGGCAGAGAAAAUGGAUCUUUGGGGCAUGCUUUGUUGAGGCUGGUAUAAUCAAUGCACAUGCGCCACUUCUUGUUCUUCUUCAGCACUAGGACUAGAUUGGCUAACCAUUCUGGAAAGAACACCUCCAUGAUGAAGCCGACUGCCAGGAGCCGGGCUAUCUCUUCCCCAACAACUCUUCUUUUCUCUUCUGAUAGGCGACGCAAGGGCUGCCGGACGGGCUUGGCAUCAGAUCGGACGUGUAACUUGUGCUCGGGGAAAUCCGUCAGUACACCUGGCAUGUCUUUGGGGGACCAUGCGAAAAUGUCCCGAUUCUCAUGGAGGAAAUCGACGAGCUCGCCUUCCUAUUUACUUUCAAGGUUCACGCCAAUGAUAGCAUACCUCUCCGGGUGCUCCGGGUCCAAAGGUAUCUUCUUUGUCUCUUUGGCCGGCUUGAACGAGCCCUCGGCUUCCGACUCCUUGGAGUUGGGUGACAUUUCCGGCUGCUUCCCUGCCAUUGCCACAACCCGGUCAAGGAGCCGUUUCUCUACUGCGAUCACGAGAGACUCGGCUAACCGGCUGCUCUCCGCCACGCAGACGGAUGACUUCUUGUAGUCUCCUGCUACGGUCAGGAUUCCCUUAGAGCUUGGCAUCUUCAUCUUUAGGUAAGCAUAGUGGGGAACGGCCAUGAACUUGGCCAAGGCAGGCCGGGCAAGCUGUGCGUGAUAAGGGCUCUCAAGAUCCACCACCUCAAACCAGACUGGCUCUCGGCAGAAAUGAGUUUUGUCCCCGAAGAGGACAUCUAUUUGAGUCUUGCCGAUUGGUGAGCAGGAAAGGCCAGGAACUAUGCCAUGGAAAACAGUCCGACUGGGCUGAAGGUGUCUCUACUUGAUUCCAAUUUCUCCAUGGUAUCCUUGUACAGAAUGUUGAUGCUGCUGCCGCCGUCUAUCAAGACUCGGGAAAAACGGGCAGCCCGCCUCUCUGUGGCAAACAUGGCUUCCAAUACCAGAGCACAGGAGCCGGGACUGGGCAUCACCUCCGGGUGGUCGGCUCUGCUCCAGCUGAUGGGCUUCUCAGACCAAUGCAUGAAUUCCGGGGUCUCUGAUACUACUGCAUUCACUUCCAACCGCUGCUGCCGCCUGCUGCGCCUAUCGUCGGCCACGCUAGUGAACACGAUGUAGGCCCCCUGCUCCUCAGGAUAAUCAUCCUGCACGACGCCGAUUGGCCGAGCCGCCGGCUGCUGUGGGGAAGGAGGCGGCGGGCCGGCAGGGGGAGCGGGCUGGAGUCCGUCACCCUUGGCAAUCCUGGUGAGCCAAUGGAACUUUCGAGUGGUGUGAUUGGAUGGCUUCGCACUGCUAUGGAACUUGCAGGGGGCAUCAAGAGUCUGCUCGUACAAGAAGGCGGGCAGCCAAUUAGGCUUGCCACCCUUCUGACGCUUGGGAUGAGGCUGCACUUCUGGUUGUCGAUCUUCAAGUGCUGCCACCUGCCGGCUUGUGGAAACCGGCUGCGCGGCCUUGCGCUUGUUGUCGUUCGGCUGCUGCCGCCGACUGGCCUCGCCAGCCGGGGUCCGAGGGUCUUGGGGAGCCACCUUGCCCGACACGUUGACUUGAAUUUACGCCUUCAUGGAGGAGUCGGCUGUGGCGUACUUGUCUGCUAUGAUUAGCAGCUCGUCAAGGGUCGCUGGUGUAACGCCCCGGAUGUAACUUACCCAAUUUGUACUCCAACUCUUGCCGUUUCCGGCCUUAAGUUAUUUUAUUUUCUCGGGUUCGGGUCUUUGUCUCUGUGUGUUGUUAUCGUUGUCAUGCAUCUCAUAUCAUGUCAUCAUGUGCAUUGCAGUUGCAUACGUGUUCAUCUCAUGCAUUUGAUCAUUUUCCCCGUUGUCCGUUUUGCAUUCUGGCGCUUCGUUCUCCUCCGGUGGUCAUUUCUACCUUUCUUUCGUGUGUGGGGAUUAAAAUUUCCGGAUUGGACCGAGACUUGCCAAUCGGCCUUGGUUUACUACCGGUAGACCGCCUGUCAAGUUUCGUACCAUUUGGACUUCGUUUGAUACUCCAACGGUUAACCGAGGGACCGAAAAGGCCUCGUGUUUGUUGCAGCCCAACACCCCUCCAAGUUGGCCCAAAACCCACCUAAACCUGCUCCAUCAUCUAGAGCGUUCGAUCACGAUCGCGUGGCCGAAAACCGCACCUCAUUUGGACUCUCCUAGCUCCCUCUAUGCCUAUUUAAAGUCCCCUCCCGAAAAUUCUGGAUCCAACCACCCUAACCCUAGUCGUCUUCCACCUCUCGCCGCCGGACACGUCCGAUUCGAGCCGGACGUGUCCGACUUGUACCUCCGCCGCCACGUGUCGCCACCCCACUGGCCCGGCCGCAUCUCCCAGCCGCCGGCCCGCAAGCCCGCCACGGGCCCUCCCGGCCUGAGAUCCCGCGCCGCUUGGCCCGCCUCCCCGCCGCCCGNNNNNNNNNNNNNNNNNNNNNNNNNNNNNNNNNNNNNNNNNNNNNNNNNNNNNNNNNNNNNNNNNNNNNNNNNNNNNNNNNNNNNNNNNNNNNNNNNNNNNNNNNNNNNNNNNNNNNNNNNNNNNNNNNNNNNNNNNNNNNNNNNNNNNNNNNNNNNNNNNNNNNNNNNNNNNNNNNNNNNNNNNNNNNNNNNNNNNNNNNNNNNNNNNNNNNNNNNNNNNNNNNNNNNNNNNNNNNNNNNNNNNNNNNNNNNNNNNNNNNNNNNNNNNNNNNNNNNNNNNNNNNNNNNNNNNNNNNNNNNNNNNNNNNNNNNNNNNNNNNNNNNNNNNNNNNNNNNNNNUCUCUCCGGCGAGUUCCUCCAGUGAACAGUCCGGCCGGCCAACCUCGUACGACGUGCGCCGAUCCAGAUCCGGAUGAACAGUAACCCUAGGUGUUUUUUCUUCUAAGUCCUGGGAUUUUCAAAUCCAAGUGCCCAUGUUCAUAGCAUCGACUCUCCGCAUCCGUAACUCCGAUUCAUGCAUAUAACAUAUCAAAAUGUUCGUCCCAGAGAGUACAUCAUUUCAUUCCAUUGCAUCAUUUUCAUUUGAGUUCAUCUUGAUGCCCUAAAUGCUGUUAGAAGAGGGCUACUUGAGAUAAUUGUUAGAUCUGCUACUCCAUUUAGCUUUUUGUCAAAUUUGCCAUGAUUAUUGUGUGCAUGAUAUGCCCUGUUGCUCUACAUAUGUUUUGUUAAGGGUUUUGUCAUCUUUCCAGAGGUGCAACCCAUGUAUUUUUGUGAUGUGUGUGGUGACUAGUGCAAGCUUGCAAAGUGAGGCACUUGGUAAUUCUGAUUUCAGGGACUUAGCAUUUCCACCAAGUCCUUGAGCUAUUUAUCUCAUGAUGCCAUAUGUUCAUGUUGUUUCCUAGUGAUCCGUGCCUCUUUUGAGGAUGAUCAGUAAGGAUGUUUUAUUCAUCUUGUAUUGCUCUAUCCAUCCAUGCCUUUGUUUGCAAUUAUGGAGCACCCUAGCUUGAUUCAAUCGAGCUCUACUUUUGCUACUUUGUGAAUCUAGGCAGAUUGUCAACUUGUUUGCAAUUUUGCCGAUGUUGUUGUAGAUGAUCCGUGCAUGCUAUGCUAUUGUUCUUGUCAUGUCUAGCUUGAAUUUUGUGUGUUCUUGAUAGAUGUAUGCUUAGCUUUUCAUGACUUGCACCGUAGUGAGUGCAUCGAGCUCGUGAACAUGCUUACUUGAGUUAUGUUUCAGCAUGUGUUUUUGCUAUGUUCACAUGCUUGCUAAUAUAUUUUCUGAUCCCUUUUGGCUCAAGGUCACUAAGGGACUUUUGUUAAGCUAUUUGAGUAGCUCCAUGCCAUGUCUUACUCUGCCAUGUUCAGGUUCUGUAGCAUGUAGUUUUGUUGCUCCGAAGAGUGCUACUUGGUCUGAAAUUCCAGACAAGUGUUAAUUUCACUAAGUCUGAGAUCUGUUUACCAUAUGCAUAUUUGCCAUGCUUGUUUGAACCUGUUAAUGGAUGAAUUGGCCAUGGCUCAGUGCUAGACUUUUGUUAAGCAUCUUGAAUGCAUCCCUGCCAUGUAUUUUGAUGCCAUGUUUGAGUGCCGUAGCAUGUUCAUCUCAUUGCAUUUAUAUGGCUACUUGCUGUAAAUCGCAGACCGGUGUCAUAUUUGAAUCGCUUGCCAUUUCCAAACCGUAACUCCGAUUCCGGCGUUCUUUAUAUCAUUUCAAGCGAUUUCAUCUCAUCUUUUCAGUGGCACACUUGGAUUCCCAAGUCGAGGCCAGGUUCAUGCAUUCCCUGUCAUAUCUUGCAUAUGCAUCCCGCAUCGCAUCCCGCAUAGCAUAUCAUCAUUGCAUCAUAUUAUUUGAUCCUUGCACAUGGUUGAUUGUGUCCUUGUUGCUUGUUUGUCUUGUUUGGGUAGAGCUGGGAGACGAGUUCGCUAACGAGGAGCCCGUUGAGUUUGCUUUCGAGGAUCCAGUCAACUCUGACAGCUUUGCAGGCAAGAUGAUCAUACCCUCGAAAUCACUACUAUCUUUGCUAUGCUAGAUUGCUCGCUCUUUUGCUAUGCCAAUGCUACGAUGCCUACCAUUUGCUUUCAAGCCUCCCAAAUUGCCAUGUCAAACCUCUAACCCACCAUGUCCUAGCAAACUGUUGAUUGUCUAUGUUACUGCUUUGCUCAGCCCCUCUUAUAGUGUUGCUAGUUGCAGGUGAAGAUUGGAGGCCGUUCCUUGUUGGAACAUUUAUUUUACUUGUUAGGAUAUCAUUAUAUUGCCAUGUUAUCUUAAUGCAUCUAUAUACUUGGUAAAGGGUGGAAGGCUCGGCCUCUCGCCUAGUGUUUUGUUCCACUCUUGCCGCCCUAGUUUCCGUCAUAUCGGUGUUAUGUUCCCGGAUUUUGCGUUCCUUACGCGGUUGGGUUAUAAUGGGAACCCCUUGAUAGUUCGCCUUGAUUAAAGCUUUUCCAGCAAUGCCCAACCUUGGUUUUACCAUUUGCCACCUAGCCUUUUCCCUUGGGUUUCGCGGACUCAAGGGUCAUCUUAUUUUAACCCCCCGGGCCAGUGCUCCUCUGAGUGUUGGUCCAAACUGAGCUGCCUGCGGGGCCACCUCGGGGCAACUUGAGGGUUGGUUUUACUCGUAGCUAGUCUCAUCUGAGUGUGCCCUGAGAACGAGAUAUGUGCAGCUCCUAUCGGGAUUUGUCGGCACAUUCGGGCGGUGUUGCUGGUCUUGUUUUAACCUGUCGAAAUGUCUUGAAGAACCGAAAUACCGAGUCUGAUCGGGACAUCUCGGGAGAAGGUCUAUUCCUUCGUUGACCGUGAGAGCUUGUCAUGGGCUAAGUUGGGACUCCCCUGCAGGGAUUUGAACUUUCGAAAGUCGUGCCCGUGGUUAUGGGCAGAUGGGAAUUUGUUAAUGUCCGGUUGUAGAUAACUUGAACCUUAACUUAAUUAAAAUGAAUCAACCGAGUGUGUUGCCGUGAUGGCCUCUUCUCGGCGGAGUCCGGGAAGUGGACACGGUGUUGGAGUAAUGCUUGUGCAGGUUGUCCUCUAGUUUCUCGCUCGCGCUUUGCCUCCUCUUCUCGCUCUCUUUUGCGAAUAAGUUAGCCACCAUAUAUGCUAGUCGCUUGCUGCAGCUCCACAUAUAUUUACCUUACCCCUACCUAUUAAGCUUAAAUAGUCUUGAUCGCGAGGGUGCGAGAUUGCUGAGUCCCUAUGGCUCACAGUUUACUAUUACACCAGUUGCAGGUCCAGAUGAUUCCGCUCCAGGUGACGCGCUCGGGCUCAAGUGGGAGUUCGACGAGGACUCUCAAUGUUACUAUGUUUCUUUUCCUGAGGAUCAGUAGUGGUGCCCAGUUGGGGGUGAUCGGGACCAUGUCGCUUGUUGGGUUGUCUUUUAUUUUGGCGCCCUAGUCGGGCCAUGAGUGUUUGGAUGAUGUAUGUUAUUUAUGUACUUGAUUGACGUGGCGAGUGUAAGCCAACUAUGUUAUCCCUUUUAUUUAUCUAUAUUACAUGGGAUGUUUGUGAUGAUUGCCUGACUUGCGACAUAUGCCUUCAAUGCGAUUAUGCCUCUAAGUCGUGCCUUGACACGUGGGAGAUAUAGUCGCAUCGAGGGUGUUACAGCUGGCUCGUCGCAGAGGAGCCGGUGCUUGAGGAGGGUGCCCUCUUGGCACCUGGCAGUGAAGUACUCGAUGGCCUGCACCUCGUGCACGUCCUCGCAAGAGUUGCGCAGCUCGGCCCAGCGUGUGAGAUAGUCGCGAGUCGACUCAUUGGGGCCUUGGAUGCACUGGGAGAGCUGGUGAGGCUUGGGCAGCCGUUUAUAUGUGUUGGUGAAGUUGCAGAUGAACGCUUCAGUAAAGUCAACCUAGCCGUUGACGCUGCGGGGCUUCAGGCUGUUCAACCAUGUCCGGGCCGUGCCCUGGAGCAUGAGGGGGACAUACUUCACGGCAACGCGCUUGUUGCCGUUGGCGAUGCUGACGGAUGUGGAGUAGUCGACCAGCCAGUCCUCCGGCUUCUCGGAGCCGGUGUACUUGGGGGUAUCUCUUGGGAGAGUGAACCCUUUGGGAAAGGGCUCAUCUCGGAUGCGGGGGCCAAAACAAGGCGGACCCAGCUCGUCUUCCUCUUCUAGCACCAGGGACCGAUUAAGUCGGUCGAUCCGGUUGUGGACGUCGUUUUCUCCGAUUUCUUCUCGACGGCCAAAGCUGUCGCCGAGUUAUGGGUGGUCAACAGGCGGCAGCGAGAUGCGCCUCUCCCUGCGGGGAGGAGGCGACGGGCAGUCAUCUCGCCGUCGUACUGCUCUUGGGCGGCCGUCUUGGUCGCGCUCGAUGGUGAUGUGAGUCCGGCUGCGGCUGGCAGCCGGCUCCUUGUCUCUUACAUCAUGGACGCCACCAAUCGGCAUCCGGGACGUCGCGCCUUGGUCUCGGCGAGGUGGUGGGUCGUCAUUUCGCCGGUUGGGCGCUUCAGUGCGGCAACCGGCAUCUUGCUGCUCAGCAGCCGCGUCAAGGAGCUGCUGAACUCGCUCCGGCAUGUGGCGACACUCAUUGCCCUCGAGCUUGUCUAGCUCGUCUGCUGCCGGCUGGGCAGCUUGUAUAUUCUCUGCAGGCGUGGCAUAUACGGGACGGUCUGUCCCGAACAUGCUGGCGAUGGUCGCGCCGCACUGCCUGAUCAAGCCAAUGCGGCUAGGCCCACCAGGAACCGGAGUGCCGCCUAGAGCACGGUCCAUCUCCCACUGGUAGGCCUCCGAAAGGCGUCUCGUGCUGGCCAGCCGGCUGGCGCUCUUGACGAGCUGGACGCGGCGCGCUUCCAGCGUCUCGGCGUCGGCGUCCUCCGGGAUUGGUGCAACCAAGUCUUGCAUCACCGUCUGCAACGGGUCCUGACCGCCCCCGCCAGAGUGCUCACCGUGGCUGAUCAUGAGCACCUCCGUGAUGGUGCUGCCACCGCUGUCCGCGCGAGGAAGCGGCUCAUCGUAGACCACCACAUUGGAGGGGAACGUGUCGAGCGAACCAUGUCAGAGUCGACCAACAUCGGGUCGGUGGAGCCAACCGACUCCAAGUCAGUAGCAGGCUCGCUGGCGACGUGGAGCUGAUCGAGGAGGCCCACGAGACGGCCUUCGGGGCCAUCGGUGCCUGCGUCGGACGCAGGCUUGUCGGAGAGGCGAAUGUCGCCAACAAGAUCGGCGAGGCAGCUCGCUGCGCAGGCGAUCUCCGCACCGUGCAGCGCCUCGGCGCAGAGCCGUCCAUCGUGUCGGGUUGGCUGCGCUCGCCGGGAAGGAAAAGGGUUCCCGUCUAGAACAGGUCUCCGGGAGACGGUGCACCUCGCCCCACAGUGGGUGCCAAAUGUCGGGGGUUGGGUGCGACAUAUUCCAAAGGAUGGCAUGGUGGGAGAGAGUAGAACGUCACCGGUGCUUGGAAGGGGGAUGAGGCAUAGACACGAAUGCCGGCGUACUUUACCCAAGUUCGGGGCUCUCCUAGGAGAUAACACCCCUAGUCCUGAUCUGCGGGGUCUGCGCAUGAUCACUAAUGCGUAAGUGGUACAACGUUGCUCCUCGAGCUGUUUGGUAUAGGUGGAAGAAGGCAGGCACACUCUCUCCUCUAGAUAUGAGUCUAGUCCUAACAGGGGUCGAACCCUUUGCAUGGGUGCCCUGGGGGUUUAUAUAGGCCUACCCCCCAGGGGUACAAUGGUAAUCUGGCCGGGCGUAGGGCCCGGUCGUCAUUCUCUCUGGUCGCCGGCCUCUUGGCCGACAGCUGGGGCCUGCCGCCUGGUGGGCCCCGCCGCUUGGUCUGGUACAGAGCCGACAAGCCGCUCCCGCCGCUUGAGGGUCUUGCCGGCUGCUGAUCACUAUAGCCGUAACGCUAAUGAUGCAGGCUUGGUCGGGGAGGCGUGGCUACAGUCCCGCCGCCUGGUGGGCGAUCACCGUUGCCACUCCGUGUCUCAUCUGGUUGAUGGCGCAUGGGGCCCAAGGGAGGGAUUGGCCGCCUGCUGGUAGCCGGCUCCUCUGAGGUCCGGUUGUCCCAGCCUCCUCCGACUUCAGGGCUCUGGCUGCUAGGUAGGGCCCGCUGUCUACAACCCGUACCUGAUAGGCCUUCGUGGGAACAAGACUCCGCCUGUCAGGUGUGACGUGUGGGGGGAGAGGCAACAGUGCCGUGUCGUGCGGAGAUCUCCGCCUAUACGGGGCACUGUGGCCACGUCCGUCCCUGGAUUCAAGGGAAGGCUUGCACUAUAGUCGUACCCGUCUUGUCUCUUUGAUGAGGGCGCAGACUUUGAGGGUGCCAUGGGCCGACUGCUAGGAGCCAGCCUCUCUGGAGGCCGCUCUCUAGGAGUCGGCCCGUCAGGAUGCCGCCCUCUGGAACUCGGCCGCCCUCGACCAGUCGGCCGCUUGGCCAACCCGCCGCCAGAAGGCGGAGUCUUUAUCUUGACGUCUUUGAGAGGCGCAGCCGGCCCCUUUGUCUUGAAAGGCUCGGGGGCUCGGGUUAGGCUACCCGUGGCCCAUUACUCCGACACUUAUGGAAAAGAACUUGCAUGACAUCUUCUGUCCUACCCUCCCGUGGCAGCGGGGUCCUAAUGGAAACUAAGGGAUAUUAAGGCCUCCUUUUAAUAGAGUACCGGAAUAAAGCAUUAACACAUAGUGAAUACAUGAACUCCUCAAACUACGGUCAUCACCGGGAGUGGUCCUGACUAUUGUCACUUCGGGGUUGCUAGAUCAUAACACAUAGUAGGUGACUAUAGACUUGCAAGAUAGGAUCAAUGUCGGUGUCAAAACCGACGGAUCUCGGGUAGGGGGUCCCAAACUAUGCGUCUAGGCCGGAUGGUAACAGGAGGCAAGGGACACGAAGUUUUACCCAGGUUCGGGCCCUCUUGAUGGAGGUAAAACCCUACGUCCUGCUUGAUUAAUAUUGAAGAUAUGGGUGUUACAAGAGUAGAUCUACCACGAGAUCAGAGAGGCUAACCCCUAGAAGCUAGCCUACGGUAUGAUUGUAUGUUGUGAUUGUUGUCCUACGGACUAAAACCCUCCGGUUUAUAUAGACACCGGAGAGGGUUAGGGUUACACAAGGUCGGUUACAAAGGAGGAGAUAUCCAUAUACGUAUUGCCUAGCUUGCCUUCCACGCCAAGUAGAGUCCCAUCCGGACACGGGACGAAGUCUUCAAUCUUGUAUCUUCAUAGUCUAAUAGUCCGGCCAAUGGAGAUAGUCCGGCUGUCCGGAGACCCCCUAAUCCAGGACUCCCUCAGUAGCCCCCGAACCAGGCUUCAAUGACGAUGAGUCCGGCGCGCAGUUGUCUUCGGCAUUGCAAGGCGGGUUCCUUCUCCAAAUUCUGUGUACCUGUCGAAAUAAUGUCCGGUUCCUCGUGAUGGUUUGUAUUUCUUGGCUUCCACGCCCAAUAAUGGCCACUUUCCACAUGUCGAGCGAAUGUGAAGAGCCAGGGUGUUUUCACAUUUACCCCCUAGCUAUGCAAAUGAGCCGCCUAUUUAAAAAGACGAGGAUUCAAAUCCAAAUCACAUCAUCCUCCCUUGCCGAGUCUUCAUCAGAGCGUACCCGACAAAGAUCCAUUCCACCAUGGCCGGUCGUCGCAACUCCUCCUCUCGCACCCCUAGCUCCAAGCCUGGAGAUUGGGAGAGAUGUUCCAUCCCGCAUAGCAAAUUGGUGAUGCUUCAGUCCAAGGGAUUUCUUCCCCCAGCGUACCUGGUCCCCGUUCGAGCCGGGCUUGCCACCUAUAAUGGCGGAGAGCAAGCGGAGAGCCGUCCCAAUCCCUCCAAGGGAGAUUGGGUGUGCCUUGUCCCUUAUCUGGUAAGAGGGCUCGGAUUCCCAAUCCAUCCGUUUCUCCGAGGGUUUCUAGAGUUCUAUGGCCUCCAGCUACACAACCUCACGCCUGCUUCUCUGGUGCAUAUCGCGGGAUUCGUAGCCCUUUGCGAGUUAUUUUUGGGCUGUGAGGCUCAUUUCGCUCUGUGGAAGAAGCUGUUCUGUCUGGUGCCCCGUUCUAAGAAGGGAUCAAUAUAUCAAAUGGGCGGAGCCAAAGUGUGGCGUAUCGCCGGGACCAGAUACCUAUCCGGGACCCCAAAGAAGACAUCUGAAGACUGGCCUUCAGAAUGGUUUUAUAUAGAAGAUGUCCCCCUUCCGGACCCUAAUUGGAUCGGCCUUCCAGAGUUUGACAACGCCCCUUUGAAGAAGCGUCAGAGAUGGCGUCCACGAAGCCCCCUGGAGGAAGAUGACCGGGACAUUCUUUAUUUGAUGAGCCGGAUAAGCUCUUUAGCUCGAUCCGGAUUGACCAUGAUCGAGGUCAUGGCUAUAUGCAUUAUGCGGGGGGUGCAGCCGCUCCAGUAUAGAGGCCACCCCAUGUGGGAUUUCAACGGGGAGGAUGACGCCACCCGCCACGGCCACAAAGGGCCGGGAUCAGCUGCUGAUCUAAUAAAGAUCUUAUCCACUUUGUACAAGGGAGAAGAGGAGGAAUUCCUCCGUGUCAACCCGCAGGGCGGAUUCUCCAUGUACAAUCCUCCGAGCUGGGUAAGUGGAGAUUUUUCUCGCCCAUCCGUUUUGUAUUCCCGUAGUUUAAGUAUUCAUUCUAGCGAUUUCAUCGCAGGAGCUCGCCAGGCAGUAAAGGAGAUAAACAGCCCUCCCCCACAGCCCGAGGACCCUGGACGGUCCCUUGACCCAGCCUCCCAGGAGGAUCCGGACAUAUCCGUGGAGCUGAUCGACGGGGUAUUUUACCAAGGGAGUAAUGACAAUACCUUGGUGGCCAUUACGGCCGAUUACCCUAGGCUAGUUCCAGCCUCACAGGUGAUUGAGACCGAAAUCCCAGCACUUAAAAAGGGAUCCGUCCUUGUGCUCUUUUUAUUGCCGUAUAACAGUCGUGUUUUGCAGGGGAGGUCCUCGGGGCAGAAGGCCGAGCCCGUGGCAACUGGCCAACAAGGGGCCGCUAGGCCAGGAAGACUGAAAAGAUCCGUAGUCCGGAUUGAGGCACCGGCGCAGCGGUAUGGCGCACCGUUUUUAUUACAAGACAUAAUUUACAGAGGCAUACUAACACCCGUGCCUUCUUUUCAUGAAAAAGAGCGCUCGCCAGACUACACCCGGAGAGGCUACCAAUCGCGCCUCCACAAGCCGGGCUCCAAGGCUAGACUCAGAGGUGGGAACGAGUACAAGGUGUGCGCCGGUUUCUCCUCCGACAGAGGAUACGGAUAGACUGUCCGCCACCCAUUCCGAGGUGGAAUGUGCCAUGAACCACAGGCGUCGCCGGACUGUUCUUCAUGACACUUGUUUCUCCCCAGAGGCAUUGGAUGCCUUCAACUCGGGAGACGCGCACCUCCGUGCCGCUCAAGAUGGUCUAGCCAAAGCCAUGGAGCAGUAUGUAAAAGACAUACGGGUGAGAAAAUUUGAUGAUUAUAUAUAUCAGUAGCCCCUGAGACUUGAAACAGUUAGGAUAACUGAUUUAAGGAUCAUUUGUUAUGUAGGUUCUUACAUAAAAUAAUACUCAACUGUCCCAGGAGCUGGAAGAGUGCAAAGCCCAACUUCAGGCCGCACUGUCCGCCGCAGGGGAGCCCAAAGAGACCCCCGCUGGUAACAUAUCCGUCAAGUGAUAAGUAUCAUAUUAGAGUGCGGCUUUAUAUGCAAAUCUAACAAAAAAUUGCAGAUGACGCUGGAGUGAAUCUGGAUAAGCAACGGCUCAAACGCCAGCUGAAGGCUGGUGAGAACGUGCUUACAAGGGUGAGGCAGGAGAAGAAUGAUCUCCAAGAUGCCAACACCAAGCUGGGCGUGGAACUGAAAGAUGUUCGUGCCCAACUGUCGGACUCUGUUAAGGAGAAUCGACGGCUUCGGCGCGACAUAUUUAGUAAGUGCUUGAACGAACUUAAAAAGAGUUCGGCGGGGAAGCUGACUGAUAGAGUUAUGUCUGUAGGUAUGUUAACAGGUCGUCCUGCCGAGGAGAUGCCUAGUUCGACGGGUGAUCUUCUUCCCGAGCUCGCACAAUUGCACGAACGAGUUCGGCAGGUGAUGCGAGGCGUUGCCCAGGCCUUGUGGCCGUCCGUCUCCAUACCCGAAGGCCUUGGAGAGCUUGCAGAAAAGCUGAAGGGCGCACGGCGACGCUUCCGAUUAUGGAAGAUAUCGACCUGCCGUCAGGGCGCCAGGGAAGCUUGGGUGAUGGUGAAGACACGAUACAUGAAGGCUGACCCGAACCACAUGGCCGAAGUCGGACCUGUGGGGCCUGAUGGCAAGGAGAUCCCUAUAAAUUUAGUGUACGGCCAAGUAGAAUUGGCCGCAAAGUAUUCCCAACAGGACUGUAGACUAGACAGCCUAUUGGAUGGCAUUGAAGAGGAAUUCAACCAGUCAAAUUGACUAUGUAAUUGUAAAGUGACAUAUAUGAUGCCUUCUAGCCGGAUUGUAGAUCGUUUGUCGUGGCAGACCUUUUCGCUUCAACCUCGGGACCCGACAGUCCGGAGUGUAUCCGAAUACCCUCUCGGUUAUAUAAGAACCGGGGCAUGCGUGGAGACUAGGCGUAGGGGUCAUUAGUGCUUUAUCAGACAAGUGCCCAACUAGUUAUGUUAUAUUACAUGGGUAGUAAGAAACAUCUUCCAGAGAGAAUAGUUCCGUUAAGGGUUCCUUUCCCUGGGUAGGCAUGCCCUAAAGUGCAUGUCCGGACUGCGACAAGAAGCGCAGUAAAAACGUCUGGGGGCAGAUAUGGUUAAUAAAUAAAAGUCAUCUUUUGUUCACCGACCGAAUAUUCUCUUAAGAAUGCUAGCUUUUGGCUUCACCCAGUCUGAGGUACAUGUCUGGCUGACCCGGCGGUAACAAUCGCAGAGGUGCUCCCCUUAUGCCCUAGCCGAAUUAACGGGAAUGUAGGGCAUAAAUACAAGAGCCAGGCAACCCAGCUUGGCCAAAACUUAAGUCAUAUCGAUGCAUAUAAUGGUGAAAAAAGGUACAUGUGGAAGUAUAACGCAUGUGUUGGGCGUGAUGCCCAGGUAAAUAAUUUAAGCUUCUAUGAAAGAAGCCCCCAGGUGUAGAUAGUGCGGCUAGCACCUCUGUAGUGUACAAGUGAGGCACAAGGUGACCCUUGAAGACCUAGAGGAAUAAAAGAAAGAAAGGGAAACAAGACAGACGACGCAUAUGCAGAAAAUGGACAAAGGGACGGGACUAACAUAAAGUCCAGUGCUAGGCGUAGAAUCUUUGGAGCCUGGCUGCGUUCCAUGGGUUCGGCUCGAGUCGACUAGUCGAUGCAUCCCGCAGUCGGUACGCUCCGCCGGUCAGAACUUGGUCGAUGAUGAAGGGACCUUCCCAUUUGGGCUCUAGCUUGUUCUUUUUCUUAUCCGGCAGCCGGAGAACUAGUUCACCAACGUUAUAAGUUUUGGCUCGUACUUCUCUACUUUGGUAUCUGCGGGCCUGUUGCUGGUAAAAUGCGGAACGGGCUUUGGCUACGUCGCGCUCUUCCUCCAAGGUGUCCAGACUGUCCUGUCGAUCGAGCUCGGCUUCUCUUUCUUUGUACAUGUGCACUCGAGGUGAGUCAUGAAUUAUGUCACAGGGCAGGACUGCCUCUGCGCUGUACACCAUAAAAAUGGUGUGUAUCCGGUACUACGAUUCGGUGUGGUCCACGGCCCCCAGAUUACGGAGUCGAGCUCCUCUACCCAGUGCGUGUCAGACUCUGUUAAGGAGUGCACUAGUCUGGGUUUAAUGCCGCUCAUUAUAAGACAAUUUGCUCGUUCAACCUGACCAUUGGUUUGUGGAUGGUAGACUGAAGCAUAGUCGAGCUUGAUGCCCAUUUUGCUGCACCAGAGUUUUACCUCGUCGGCCGUGAAGUUCGUGCCGUUAUCAAUGAUGAUGCCGUGGGGGAUGCCGUAGCGAUGUACAACCCCGGAUAUGAAAUCUAUCACCGGUCAAGAUUCGGCUAUUUUAACCGGUUUGGCCUCUAUCCAUUUGGUGAAUUUAUCCACCAUGACCAAUAAGUAUUUUUUCUUGUGGGUUCCACCAUUAAGGGGUCCAACCAUGUCAAGCCCCCAGACCGCAAAGGGCCAUGUAAUGGGGAUUGUUCGGAGGGCGGUGGGUGGCAUAUGGCUUUGAUUUGCAAAGAGCUGGCAACCGGCGCAACGCUGGACUAAGUCCUAUGCGUCUGCCCGGGCCGUUGGCCAAUAGAAUCCUGUACGGAAGGCCUUUCUCACAAGAGCCCGGGCUGUGGCGUGAUGACCGCCGAGUCCGGCAUAAAUUUCUGCCAAAAGGUUCCGUCCUUCCUCUUCGGAGAUGCACCGUUGAAGGACUCCGGUAGUGCCUUUCUUGUACAAUUCUCCCUCGUGGACCCUGUAGGCCUUUGAUCGCCGCACUAUGCAGCGUGCCUCAUUUUGGUCCUCCGGGAGUUCCUUUCUAGUUAAGUAGGCCAGGAAUGGUUCUGUCCACGGGGCAAUAAUAGCCAUUAUUUCGUGGGUUGAUUGUGUUAUUUCGGUGGCGGAGCCUCCGAUUGUGUCAGAGAGUUCGGUAUCGGGUAUUUUGGCCGGGUCCGGACUGUUGUUACCGGUGUCCCCUUCCCAUGCUACGCAUGGCUUGAAAAGCCUUUACAGAAAAAUGUUGGGAGGGACCGCGUCGCGAUUUGUGCCAAUGCGGGCGAGGAUAUCCGCCGCCUGAUUGUUUUCCUGAGCAACAUGGUGAAAUUCGAGCCCCUCGAACCGGGCUGACAUUUUUAGGACGACAUUGCGAUAAGCGGCCAUUUUUGGAUCCUUGGCAUCAAAGUCUCCAUUUAUUUGGGAUCCUGCAAGGUUUGAAUCCCCGCGCACCUCUAGGCGUUGAAUGCCCAUGGAUACUGCCAUCCGGAGACCAUGUAGAAGGGCCUCGUAUUCGGCUGCAUUGUUGGAGUCCGUAUACAUUAUCUGUAGUACGUAUUGAACUGUGUCUCCUGUUGGGGACGUCAAAACAAUGCCGGCCCCCAGACCAGCCAACAUUUUGGAGCCGUCGAAGUGCAUGAUCCAGUUUGAAUAUGUGCCGUACUCUUUAGGGAGUUCGGCUUCCGUCCAUUCAGCGACGAAGUCAGCCAAAACUUGCGAUUUAAUAGCUCGCCGUGGCUUGUAAUUUAUGUCGAACAGGAGGAGCUGAAUGGCCCAUUUGGCAAUCCGACCUGUCGCGUCAUGGUUGUUUAUAUUAUCGUUAAGUGGUACUUCCGAGGCUACCGUUAUCGAACACCCUUGAAAGUAGUGUCGCAGCUUCCUGGAUGCCAUAAAUACCGCAUACGCUAUCUUUUGAUAAUGCGGGUACCGCGAUUUGCAUGGAGUAAGGACAGUGGACACGUAGUAAACCAGCUUUUGAAUGGGAAAUUUGUGUCCGUCCACUUCUCGCUCGACGACAAGCACUGCGCUUACCACUUGAUGAGUUGCCGCAAUGUAUAAUAGCACUGGUUCGCCAAUGUUUGGCGUGGCCAGGACUGGGUUUGUUGCCAACAUGGCUUUUAUUUUGUUGAGACCGGCCGUGGCGGCGUCCGUCCACUCAAAGUGUUCGGUACGCCGAAGGAGGCGAUAAAGGGGUAAUGCCUUUUCUCCCAAGCGGGAGAUAAAGCGGCUUAGAGCCGCCACGCAUCCAGUUAGUUUUUGUAUUUGUUUGAGGUCUAUUGGGGUAGCCAACUGUGACAACGCUCGGAUUUUGGCCGGAUUAGCUUCAAUACCUCUACUGGAGACAAUGAAUCCCAGGAGCUUUCCUGUUGGUACGCCGAAGACGCAUUUUUCCGGAUUGAGCUUGAUGUCAUAUGUUCGGAGGUUGUCGAAUGUGAGCCUCAAGUCGUCUACUAAAGUUUCGACAUGCUUAGUUUUAAUGACCACGCCAUCCACGUAUGCCUCCACUGUUUUGCCGAUCUGGUUUGCCAGGCAUGUCUAAAUCAUGCGUUGAUAUGUUGCACCAGCAUUUUUUAGCCCGAAGGGCAUUGUGUUGAAGCAGAAUGGGCCGUAUGGUGUGAUGAAUGCCGUUGCGGCUUGGUCUGGCUCUACCAUUUUGAUUUGGUGGUAGCCGGAGUAUGCGUCGAGGAAACAAGCGCCAGGAUUCGUCCUUCUUUGGUACCAUCACCAAGUUUGCUAGCCAGUCCGGAUGUUUUAUGUCUCUGAUGAAUCCGGCCUCCAAUAGCUUGGCUAGUUCCUCUCCCAUGGCUUGUCUUUUAGGCUCAGAGAAACGUCGAAGAGCCUGCUUGACUGGCUUGAACCCUUUUAUGAUAUUUAGGCUGUGUUCAGCCAGCCCGCGUGGGAUUCCUGGCAUGUCUGAAGGAUGCCAGGCAAAAAUAUCCCAGUUCUCGCGUAGGAACUCUCGUAGUGCGGCGUCAACAUCAGGGUUUAAUUGUGCCCCGAUGGAAGCUGUUUUUGUAGGGUCCGUUGGAUGGACUUGGUAUUUGACUAUUUCGUCCGCCAGCUUAAAGGAGGUGGACUUGGAUCUUUUAUCGAGUAUCACGUCGUCCCUGUUUACCGUGGAGCGCAAUGCGGUUAGUUCUUCGGCCGCUAGGGCUUCGGAUAGUGCCUCAAGGGCCAGUGCAACUAUCUUAUUUUCGGCGCGGAGAGCUAUGUCCGGAUCACUAACAAGAGUGAUGAUUCCGUUGGGCCCGGGCAUUUUGAGCUUCAUGUACCCGUAAUGGGGUACGGCUUGGAAGAUUGUGAACGCCUCCCGCCCUAAUAGAGCGUGGUAUCCACUGCUGAAUGGGGCCACUUGGAAUGUAAUUUCUUCGGACCUGUAAUUAUCCGGUGUGCCGAAUACCACGUCUAGUGUGAUUUUUCCGGCGCAGCGUGCUUCCCGACUAGGGAUGAUUCCUCUAAAGGUUAUGCUGCUUUGCUUAAUGCGACUCUAGUCUAUUUCCAUCUUUUGAAGAGUUUCCUCGUACAUGAGGUUUAAUCCGCUGCCGCCGUCCAUGAGUACCUUGGUGAGUCGAAAGCCGUCCAUGAUUGGACUGAGGACCAGUGUGGCUGGUACUCGGGUUGUUCGGAAUUUAGUUUCAUCACUGGCAUUGAAGGUAAUAGCCGUGUCGCUCCAAGGAUUUGUUUUUGCUAUGUGGCAGAUUUCGGACGUGCCGCGGAGUGUUCGCUUCCGUCUUUUAUUUGACGCAAAGGUCUCGAAGACCGUUAAGACCGUACUGUUAUCCUCGGGGUGGUGUUCUUUGGUUUUUGGGAGGAGUAGAUCCUCACCACUUUUGGCCACCUGGCGGAGUAUCCAGCAUGCUCUAAGGCUGUGCGUUGGUAUCGCAUCUGCUGUACUAUGAAUUUUGCAGGGUCCGUUGAGCCAUCCCUCCAGUACGGUUCCUUGCCCCGUAGAGGGCUUUUGCUUUUUGGUAGUUAACCUAGGUGUAUUUUGAUAAUGCACCCUUUUAUUUUGGAUUGGGUUUGUAUUCAGGGCCGGGUUAUCCCAAAAUUUUAUUUUGGUUUUCCACGCGCUUUCCAUCGCACAGUACUUUCGCACUAUGGACACCAAGUCGGAAAAGCGUGUAAUUUCGCGACGACUUAUGGCGUUGAGGAUUCCCUUGUCCGUGCAAUUAUUGCAGAAGAAUGAAAAUGCGUCUUCCUCGCGGCAGUCCUUUAUCGUGUUCUUGAUCAGGAGGAAUCUGGCCCAGUAAUGGUGUACUGUUUCUUCGGGCUCUUGCCUAAUUUGGGAUCGAUCGCGUACGUUUGGGUGGGUGGGUGGUAUUGAAUCCGAAUCCUCACCCGAUCUAAGGCUCAGUGGCCAAGGAGUUUCCGAACUCCAAAGCUUGGAUUCUUGAACGUUUUCUGGUAAAUCUAGCCCGCUGCCUGAUUCUGGGUUCAGGCUUUGAGUGACGUCCUCCCCUCCGCGGGUAUCCCGUUUGGGGGGAUCAGGAAUCCGGAUGUAGCUAGUCCUUAAGAUAGAUGGAGUUUUGCCGCAUUGUUCUUCCACCACUACAACGUGGUGGGUGACCUGGGGAGACUUAAUUUCUCUUAGAUCUGGUUUAGGCCCAAUCUGAUCGUAGUCUGUAGCGACUCCCAGGGCGGUGAUACGAUCCAAGAGCUCGUUCAGGGAAGAGAGAUCCAUUGGAUAUAAAUGUUCGGCGAGUUUCGAGUUGAUGUGAAGAUUGCUUUUGAUGACCCGAGAAGUCAUCAUCGGCGCAGCGGCUGAACAGGCGGUCAUAAGAAAACCACCUAGCCGAAGAGUUUGGCCGAUAGCCAGAGCUCCCUCAGCGAUAGUGCUGUCUUUAAAGACGGGACGAGACAUCCUUCCUUGUGGCGACGGCACAGCGGAACUCUCAAUGAAAGCACCAAUGUUGGUGUCAAAACCGGCGGAUCUCGGGUAGGGGGUCCCGGACUGUGUGUCUAGGUCGGAUGGUAGGAGGCAAGGGACACGAAGUUUUACCCAGGUUUGGGCCCUCUUGAUGGAGGUAAAACCCUAUGUCCUGCUUGAUUAAUAUUGAAGAUAUGGGUGUUACAAGAGUAGAUCUACCACGAGAUCAGAGAGGCUAAACCCUAGAAGCUAGCCUACGGUAUGAUUGUAUGUUGUGAUUGUUGUCCUACGGACUAAAACCCUUCGGUUUAUAUAGACACCGGAGAGGGUUAGGGUUACACAAGGUCGGUUACAAAGGAGGAGAUAUCCAUAUACGUAUUUCCUAGCUUGCCUUCCAUGCCAAGUAGAGUCCCAUCCGGACACGAGACGAAGUCUUCAAUCUUGUAUCUUCAUAGUCUAACAGUCCGGCCAAUGGAGAUAGUCUGGCUAUCCGGAGACCCCCUAAUCCAGGACUCCCUCAAUCAAGAACUCUCAUAUAUUAAUGAAAACAUAAUAGGUUCAGAUCUGAAAUCAUGGCACUCGGGCCCUAGUGAUAAGCAUUAAGCAUAGCAAAGUCAUAGCAACAUCAAUCUCAGAACAUAGUGGAUACUAGGGAUCAAACCCUAACAAAACUAACUCGAUUACAUGAUAAAUCUCAUCCAACCCAUCACCGUCCAGCAAGCCUACGAUGGAAUUACUCAUGCACGGCGGUGAGCAUCAUGAAACUGGUGAUGGAGGAAGGUUGAUGAUGACGAUGGCGACGGAUUCCCCUCUCCGGACCCCCGAAUGGACCAAAUCAGCCCUCCCGAGAGAGUUUAGGGCCUGGCGGUGGCUCCGUAUCGUAAAACGCGUUGAAUCCUUCUCUUUGGUUUUUUUCUCCCCGAAAGUGAAUAUAUGGAGUCAGGGCUGAGGUCAGUGGAGCGUCAGGGGGGCCACGAUGCAGGGAGCGUGCCCAGGGGGGUAGGGCACGCCCCCACCCUCGUCGACAGGUGGAGCCCCCCGUGACGUGGAUCUUCCUUCCAGUAUUUUUUAUAUAUUCCAAAAUAAUUCUCUGUUGAUUUUCAGGUCAUUCCAAGAACUUUUAUUUCUGCACAUAAAUGACACCAUGGCAAUUCUGCUGAAAAUAGCGUCAAUCCAGGUUAGUUCCAUUCAAAAUCAUGCAAGUUAGAGUCCAAAACAAGGGCAAAAGUGUUUGGAAAAGUAGAUACGAUGGAGACGUGUCACAUAGCCACUGCCACAAACCCUAGUCUUUUCGGUCCUACCGAUAGGGAUCUCAGUCUCACCGAGAUGGGAUUGUAAUCUCUCUGUUUCCCUUCGUAAAGUUUCGGUCCAAUCGAGAUAAGCGAUCGGUCCCACCGAGAUUGCAAUGCAAAUUCUCUCUUUCCUUUUCGUAAUGUUUCGCUCCUACCGAGAGAGCGAAUCGAUCCCACUGAGAUUUCCUGACCAACUCUCUGGUUAGUCUAUUAACAAAAUCGGUCUCACCAUGUUUGUGUAAUCGGUCUCACCGAGAUUACGUUAUGCCCUAACCCUAAUGAUAUCGGUCCCACCGAGUUGACAUGUCGGUCCCAUCGAAAACCCUAAUGGUCACAUUAUGAACUAAAUCGGUCUGACCGAGUUGUAUCAUUCGGUCCCACCGAGUUUGGUGGUUUGUGUGUAACGGUUAGAUUUUGUGUGGAGGCUAUAUAUAACCCUCCACCCACUCUUCAUUCGGAAGAGAGCCAUCAGAACAUGCCUACACUUCCAACAUACAUUUUCUGAUAGAGAACCACCUACACAUGUGUUGAGGUCAAGAUACUUCAUUCCAACCACAUAAAUCUUGAUCUCUAGCCUUCCCCAAGUUGCUUUCCACUCAAAUCAUCUUUCCACCAAAUCCUAUCCUAUGAGAGAGAGUUAAGUGUUGGGGAUACUAUCAUUUGAAGCAUAAGAGCAAGGAGUUCAUCAUCAAAACACCAUUUGUUACCUCUUAGAGAGUGGUGUCUCCUAGAUUGGUUAGGUGUCACUUGGGAGCCUCCGUCAAGAUUGUGGAGUUGAACCAAGGAGUUUGUACGGGCAAGGAGAUCGCCUACUUCUUGAAGAUCUACCCUAGUGAGGCAAGUCCUUCGUGGCGAUGGCCAUGGUAGGAUAGACAAGGUUGCUUCUUCGUGGACCCUUCAUGGGUGGAGCCCUCCGUGGACUCGCGCAACCGUUACCCUUCGUGGGUUGAAGUCUCCAUCAACAUGGAUGUACGAUAGCACCACCUAUCGGAACCACACCAAAAAUCUCCGUGUCUACAUUGCGUUUGCUCCCUCCAAACUCCUCCCUUUACCUUCAUAUGCAAUUGUUUUACAUUCCGCUGCUAUACUCUUAGAAUUGCAUGUGUAGGUUGUUUGCUUGACUUGUGCUAAGUUGCUAAAAUCUGCCAAGAAUUAAAAUUGGGAAAAGGCUAGAUUUUUAUUUUGUCAAGUAGUCUAAUCACCCCCCCCCCCCUCUAGACAUACUUUCGAUCCUACAAGUGGUAUCAGAGCUUUGGUCUCCAUUUGCAUUUAUUUCCAUAGCUUUGGUGAUCAUAGCCUUGGUUUCACAACCUAGGAGAGUAUGUCGUCUAGUGAGGGAAAUUACCACCGUAGAGGUCCUUAUUUUGGUGGUACUAAUUUUCCUAGUUGGAAGCAUAAGAUGAAAAUGCAUAUUCUUGGACAUAACCCUGCCGUUUGGGCUAUUGUGUGUAUUGGCUUGCAAGGUGAAUUAUUUGAUGGGAGUGAACCGAACCGUGAGGCUAGCGCGGAAGAGUUGAAGAUGUUGCAAUACAAUGCUCAAGCUUGUGAUAUUCUCUUCAACGUAUUGUGCCCCGAAGAAUUCAACAAAAUCAGUCGUCUAGAGAAUGCAAAGGAAAUUUGGGAUACUUUGAUUGAUAUGCACGAAGGUAUCGACUCCGUCAAGGAAUCCAAAUUGGAUGUGCUUCAAAGUCAACUUGACAAGUUCAAAAUGAAGGAUGGUGAAGGUGUUGCUGAAAUGUACUCUAGGCAUGCUCUCAUCACAAAUGAGAUUGACGGCUUAGGAAGUGAAGAAAUGACCGAUAGAUUCAUCAUCAAGAAGAUCCUAAGAGCCUUGGAUGGAAAAUAUGAUACCGUGUGCACAUUGAUCCAAAUGAUGCCCAAUUACAAAGAUCUCAAGCCAACGGAAGUCAUUGGAAGGAUUGUUGCUCAUGAGAUGUCACUCGAGGAUAAGGAAGAGCUUCAUAACAAGUCAAGUGGUGCUUACAAAGCCUCAUGUGAUGCUCCCACAUCAUCAAGUGAGAAACAAAACUUCAAUGAAGAAUUGAGCCUAAUGGUGAAGAACUUCAACAAGUUCUACAAGAGUAGAAGCAAGGAAAGAAGUUCCAAGUCAAGGUCCUACAAUGACAAAAGAUCUUCAAGCCGUGAACGUAAUUGCUACAAUUGUGGAAGACCCGGACACUACUUCAAUGAGUGUACGGCUCCCUACAAAAGAAGAGAAGGUUCUCCCAAAAGAAGGAGUGGGAGAGAAGAAUCACCACCAAGAGAGAGAAGGAGUAGAGAUGACCGUUAUGAACAAAGAACAUCAUGGAGAAGCAAGGAUUCAGAAAGGAAGGACAAAUCAUCAAGGGGCUACACAAAACGAAGACAUCAAGCUCACAUUGGUGAAUGGUAUCCGGCUCCUACUCCGACGAUCACUCCGAGAGAAGUUAUCACUCCGACUCCAAAUAUACUCAAGAUGAAGGUGUUGCCGGUCUAGCACUUGUGUCAACCAACUCCUAUGACAUAUUUGAGUCACCAAUUGAAGGAAUUGGAAGAUGCUUCAUGGCAAAAGGCCCAAAGGUAUCACACCCCGAGUAUGUUGAUUUCAAUAGUGAUGAAGAUGACUUGCUAGGUGAUGAUGAUUUACUUGUUGACAAUUCUAGUGAUGAAAACUAUGAUGAACUUGCUAUUAAUCAUGCUAAUCAAGACAAAAUGAAUGACGAUGAUAAGAAGGAUAUUGAGCGUCUAACUAAAGAGCUAAACACUCUUAAGUUAGCUCAUGAAACUACCUUGGAAAAUCAUCGAGAGCUUCUAAAGACUCAUGAGAAGUUACGCUUCGAAAAGCUCAACCUCGAGCAAGAGCAUGGGUUCUUAAAAGAGAUCAAUGAUGAUCUUCGCAAGAAAAGUUCUUCUUACAUUGCCAAGCGUUUACUUUUGUCUACUUACAUGCCACAAGUUAAAUCUAGCAACAAGAGUAAGAAAGAUUCUUCUUCUAGUAGUAACAAUAAUCAUGCUAAACCCAAUGAUGUUGCUUCUAGUAGUUCUCUUGAUUCCACUAAUGAUUCUCUUAGCCAAGUUACACUUGAGCAAGAAAAUAGCUUAUUGAAGGGAAUUAUAGAGAAAGGUGUUUACAAGAGCCUUGCCGGAAGUAAGCAAUUUUAGGAAAUUGUACGCAAGCAAGGAAGACACCGGAAGAAUCAAGGUGUUGGUUUUGAACGAAAGUUCAAUGCCAAUGGAGUUGAGUGGGAAGAAGAUCAAUACCCCAAGAUGAAAUUUGUUCCUCAACAAGAGAAGUAUGAUCCUACUUCUUUCCAAGGAACACAAGCUCAAGAUGAUCUUCCACCACAAGACCACAAGCAAAAAGGCAAGGACAAGCUUCAAGAGGAGAUUGAUGAAUUUGAAGAAGCUCCCAAAGCCUUGGUCAAGUGGGUUCCCAAGACUACAUCAAAUUCAACUUCAUCAAGUACGACUACAACUCCAAGGAUUCCCAUCAAGAUGGUGUGGAUCCCAAAGAAGAAGAACUAGAGAGUUCUUGAGUGUGACUCUGCCAACACACUUCACUCAUAUCAUUUUGGCGAGGACAAGUGCAAACAACCUCCAUAUCUUGCACUAGUUCAAGGAGUCACAAACCCUCUUGGUGGUAAGACAAGGGACAAGGUAACCUAAUGCAUUCAUGGACAUCAUCUCAUGUGAAUAUCACUCUAUGUCUAUGGAUAUCCUUGUUUGUUCCUUGUGGGACUAACCCGUGUAGGUAUUGAAAGUGCAACUCACUCCAAAGGAUUCCUCCAAAGGAUCUACAUCAACAUUGAGCAUCUACAUAUUCAACACCUACAUGAAGUCAUCAUAGACAAAACCCAAGGUUAGUUCAUCCCUCUUAGGGGGGGAUAUCACAUCUAGGGGAGCUCUACUCUAAUCAAUUGAGCUAAAGCAACUCUAAUGGUGUGAACACAACAAUACUUUAUGUAAAAGUGGCAACCCCACUUGUGCUUAAACGAUGAGUAUGACCUUGAUCAAAUUUUCUCAUUUGACUCCUAAAUCAAUAUACUCAUAUAUAGAUGAACUAGUCAUCGCCAAAUUGCUUGAUAGAUGCUAGAGUGAUUGUGCAUGCUUUGUCACAUAUUUCAUUUGCCAUCUUAUUAUGUGAGCAUGUUGGUUGCAUAUUUUACUCAUUCGAGGAUAUCCAUUUGUUGCUUUAAUUGUUUGGCUUUUUCUCUUUUGCCAAAUGGAUGGACAAGAAUGCCUAAGAAAUCCCUCUAGCUAUCUAUGCUUUUUCUCAUCUCAAACUCUAUUCAUGCUACAUCACAAAGUUUGAGCAAGUCAGAUUCGAACCACUCUGUGUGAGGAGCACUUGGAGUCCCCGAUUCAUUAUAGACUUAAAUUUCCAAAACCUCUUUGUGCAUUUCGGUAUGACCGAGUCAUCCACUUCGGUCACACCGAGAUCACUAAGUUGAUCUAGGUUUUCAAUCUCGGUGCAACCGAUUAGAACUUUUCGGUCACACCGAGUUGCAGUAACCGCUUGCAGUUCUGCAUCUUGGUGCCACCGAGUUGUUCCACUCGGUCACACCGAUAGGUUCAGGUUAUAUAUACCGACGGGUCAAAUUAUGAAUUUUUUUCCAAAACCUUUCACCCGCGCGUGACCUGCUCUGCCUCCUCAGGUCUCCGGAUCGUCCUCUCGCCGCCAGCGACCUCCCGCCGUUGGUCUCCGCCGCCGUCAACGGCAAUCUGCCCCGCCGUUGCGGCCGUAGCAAGUUCACCGCCGAAGUAGGGUAUGAACUUGAUCUUUGUGCUAUUCCUUAACUCUGAUUCAUCGCACAUUGCUUUGCCAUGAAUCUUGUCACAUAUGAAAUUAUCCCGUCCAGCAAAAGCAUCUCAUAGAUUAGGUUUGAUUUGAAAAUUUAGGGUUAGGUCUCCGCCAGACUCAUCUUGGACCGACCAAAUUGUAGAAAUCGGUCUCACCGAUUUGGCUUAGGCCAUUGCAGUUGCACUUUCGGUCUGACCGAAAACUGCAAAUCGGUGUGACCGAGUUCGAUUCUUUGUGAAAACCUAGCAGUCUCGGUGCCACUGAACUGUGACUCGGUCUGACCGAGUUCACUAGUUUAGGUUCCAAAAGCUGCUUCGGUAUCACCGAGUUUACAAAUCGGUAGCUCCGAAAUGCUUUCUGUGAAGAACUAAAACUAAGUUUUAAGUCAUUAUUUUUGCAAAAACUCUGCACUUUGUGAUUCUCAUCUACUCUACCUCAUCUACAACCUAUUCACAGGGUCUGCUGACAGUUUGCUUGCAAGAUGUCUGAUCAAAGUGACAGCCAGAACAAGUCUGAGGAGCAGGUUCAUAUGAGUGAGGGCACUAGUCCCUCUAGCACUUCUGAUGAGGGCAGCAGGAGCACACCAAGCAACUUGCCCAAGGCAGCCACCAGAACAAGGAAGAAGAAGACCUCAGAUUCCGAAGAUGAGGAUUAUGUGGCUGUUGAGGAGGAAGUCAGCUCCAAGAAGAAGGUGCUGAAGAAGGAGUAUGGCACAGUUGCAUCAACUAAGCCUGGCUUGCACAAAAAGGCCCCUGCCAAGAGGGUGCCAACCUUAAAAGUUAGAGCCUCAACUGCUUAAACCUCCAAGCCAACUGGAGAGGUUGCUGGAGAAGGAAAGAAGAGAAAAGAAAGGGUCAAGAAGACCACUUCCAGAGUGCUUGGUAGAUCCUCCGUUAUGAGAGAUCCAGAAGAAGAGGAAGAGGAAGAGGAUGCUGCUCCAGCUCCUAAGGCUCAGAAGCUUAUGGGAGAUGCAAUCAAGUCAGGGGUUGCUUCAUCUAAGCUCAAAUCUGCUCCCAAGGCUGCUGCUCAGAAACCUCCAAAGCCCAAGAGGAACACCAGGAGUAUACCUGCUGAGGAGAAGAACAAGGCCCCAGUGCGUGAAGCUAAAGAAGAAGAAGCCAAUUCUCAUGUUUUGAGGAAGUUGAAGCCCAAAAUUCCUGACCACAAUGAUGCUCAUCCCGUCGCUGAGGACAUGCACAUCAGGAAAGAUGCAGGAUUGAGGUUAUGGAGACAGUCUAAUCCCUAUGCUGUUAGGAGGAGGACUGCAGUUGACUACAGGUUCCAUACAAAGGAACAACAAGAUUUCUACGAGACCAUUCUGCUUGACAAGAAGCCCAUAGUGUGUGACAUGAAAUGGGUGGACUGGGAGUUCAUCCGGGAAAAUGAAGAUCACUUUCCUGGAGUGUAUGACAGCUUUAAGGCUUGUGGAGUAGAUGAAUUUUUUGGACAAAAUCUCACCAAAUGGAAUGAUGAGUUGAUCAUGCAGUUCUACUCCACUGCCCACUUCUAUCCAAAUGGGAGGAUAGUUUGGAUGUCUGAAGGUACCAGGUACCAGUCCACAGUUGAUGAAUGGGACAAGCUAAUCAAUGCCCUAGAGGAACAUGAAGAUGACUUGGAUGUGUAUGCCACCAAGAAUAAAGACCACAACUCAAUGGCGAACAUGUACAAAGAGAUCCCUGAUAAGGCUUUGGAAACUCACAAGCUUGGAUCUGUGCAUUUCUUAUUGUCUGGUCUGCCUACCAUUAACUGGAUCUUAAGGCACACAUUGCUACCCAAGUCAGGGGAUCACAAGAUGAUCAGAGGACACUCCAUCAACAUGCUGCAAAAUUUUGAUGUUCCCCAGAAAUUCAAAGUUAUGAGCUUGAUUGUAGAAACGAUCAAAAGUACUGCUGCUGAUCAAAAGAGGAGUUGUGGGUAUGCUCCACAUAUUCAGGAGCUCAUCAACUCUAAGAUGGGCACAGGGACUUACUUGCUUGAUAAGGAGCAUCUACCUCUAUAUCCUAAGUUUGAAGACACCACUGUUGUGAUGAAUGAGGAGGAACCAUCAUCAGCUCAAGUUCAGGAGAAGAGAGCCAAGGAAAAGGCUGAGAAAGAUGCCCAGAUGCCAAGUGUUGAAGAGGCAUCUCGAGUCUUCUUAAAGAUCAAGCAAGAUCAGUUAGGCUAUCUGAUUCAAGCUACACUGAGGAUUGAGAAGGGCUUGGCCACCCUGACUCAGAAUUAGGAGAGCCUGGAGAGGAUUGUGGAAACAAAAUUCUAUGAUCUUGAUCUGAAGGUGACUGGGAUUCAGACUGCAGUUGAUCAACUUCAGGAGGAAGCAGAGGAGAGGAGAGGAAAAGCAACCACUUAUGCUUUUAAGCGUGUGCCACGAGGUCCAAGGUCUGCUGAAGUGCCGGUCUCAGAUGCUAGAGCUUCAGUGUCAGCACCAGCAGCUACAGCUCCAGUGCCACCUCCAGCACCCACUCCAUCAGCUCCAACUACAUCGUCGGAAGCCUUCGUCCUUGCAGUUCUAUCUACACCACCUCCCGAAGACCAAGCCUGAGAGACGUAUAUCACUAUGCAUUUUCAAACUUUUUGGUAACUUGUUGCCAAAGGGGGAGAAAUAUGUAUAGAUCAUAGGCUUCGAGAGAGAGUGUCUUGCUUUUUAUCUCUCUUGCUAUUUUGGUUGAACUACUUUAUUGUGUGCUUGUGUGAGAUACUUUAUGUCCUUGUGAGAUACUUAUAUGAUCAUGUGGUUGAUCAUAUGCUACCUUAAUGUUUGGUUGAAUGAUGCUGUCCUUUAUAUUCCAUAUAUGAUCAUUCACUUGCUUGGUGAUGAGUGCAUGCUUUUAAUUUCUAUCUUUUUGAGCGCUCCACCAAGAUGUAUGUGACAUGGAAGAGUAACCCAUGAUACUAAUCGAUUCUGCAUUUGCAUUAAAAAGAAAAUUUUAAAUAAUGCACAAAUUUAGGGGGAGCUCUUGCUUAUCACAUACUUCUCAAAGAGACAAUGUUUUUCAAUCUUAUAACCAUUUGUCAAAGCUUUGAUCUAUAUGUUGUCAUCAAUUACCAAAAAGGGGGAGAUUGAAAGUGCAACUAUCCCUGGGUGGUUUUGGUAAUUCUUAACAACAUAUAGCUCAUUGAGCUAAUGCUACUUGAAGAUAAAUAUUUCAGGAAAAGCUCAAUGAUUGGCAUGGCAUGGAUUAGAAAGUGUACCCCUCCAAAUGCUAAGGACAAAAAGGAUUGGCUCGAGCUCAAAGCACAAGACUGUACAUUUCAUUUUUAGUGAUCCAAGAUCAGAUUGAGUCCAUAGGAAAAGCCAAUACUAUUAAGAGGGGGUGAGGUGUUGCUUAAUGAGGUUCUUGCUCAAAAUUCUUAGUGAUAUGCUCCACAACCCUCAACCACUUUCUCAUAUCCAAAUAUAUCCCAAACCAAAAGUCAAAUCCGGCGCCACCGAGUUCACUUGACAUAGCCAUUGCCACAAACCCUAGUCUUUUUGGUCCUAUCGAUAGGGAUCUCGGUCUCACCGAGAUGGGAUUGUAAUCUCUCUAUUUCUCUUCGUAACGUUUCGGUCCAACCGAGAUGAGCGAUCGGUCCCACCGAGAUUGCAAUGCAAACUCUCUGUUUCCUUUUCGUGACGUUUCGGUCCUACCGAGAGAGCGAAUCGGUCCCACCGAGAUUGCCUGACCAACUCUCUGGUUAGUCUAUUACCAAAAUCGGUCUCACCGAGUUUGUGUAAUCGGUCUCACCGAUAUUACGUUAUGCCCUAACCCUAAUGAUAUCGGUCCCAUGGAAAACCCUAACGAUCAAAUUAUGAACUAAAUCGGUCUGACCGAGUUGUAUGAUUCAGUCCCACCGAGUUUGGUGAUUUGUGUGUAACGGUUAGAUUUUGUGUGGAGGCUAUAUAUACCCCUCCACCCACUCUUCAUUCGUGAAGAGAGCCAUCAGAACAUGCCUACACUUCCAACAUACAUUUUUUGAGAGAGAACCACCUACACUUGUGUUGAGGUCAAGAUACUUCAUUCCAACCACAGAAAUCUUGAUCUCUAGCCUUCCCCAAGUUGCUUUCCACUCAAAUCAUCUUUCCACCAAAUCCUAUCCUAUGAGAGAGUUGAGUGUUGGGGAGACUAUCAUUUAAAGCACAAGAGCAAGGAGUUCAUCAUAAACACACCAUUUGUUACCUCUUGGAGAGUGGUGUCUCCUAGAUUGGUUAGGUGUCACUUGGGAGCCUCCGUCAAGAUUGUGGAGUUGAACCAAGGAGUUUGUACGGGCAAGGAGAUCGCCUACUUCGUGAAGAUCUACCCUAGUGAGGCAAGUCCUUUGUGGGCGAUGGCCAUGGUGGGAUAGACAAGGUUGCUUCUUCGUGGACCCUUCGUGGGUGGAGCCCUCCGUGGACUCGCGCAACCGUUAUCCUUCGUGGGUUGAAGUCUCCAUCAACGUGGAUAUAUGAUAGCACCACCUAUCGGAACCACGCCAAAAAACUCCAUGUCUACAUUGUGUUUGCUCCCUCCAAACUCCUCCCUUUACCUUCAUAUGCAAUUGUUUUACAUUCUGCUGCUAUACUCUUAGAAUUGCAUGUGUAGGUUAUUUGCUUGACUUGUGCUAAGUUGCUAAAAUCUGCCAAGAAUUAAAAUUGGGAAGAGGCUAGAUUUUUAUUUGGUCAAGUAGUCUAAUCACCCCCCUCUAGACAUACUUUCGAUCCUACAGAUUUUCAUAUUGAGAAUCUUCAUGUCUAUAUAUAGAUUUCUACAGGAGUCAAUCCGAUGAAAAAUGAUAUGUGCACUGUGGACAUAUGCACCACAAACUCUAUACUCAUGGAAGUCCAAUGUUUCCACUCUCAUUGAGAGAAAGGAGAUAUUUUUAAAUCGCUAGACGCGAUGAGGUUUAACUCGUACCCUACUAAACUAUGGAGGUAUCCUUCAAAAUAGUUUCCAUAGCGAAACUUAUGAUGACAACAAAGAGAAAUCACUUCUCUUUACCAUAUGCAACGGAUAUGGCAAGCACAUUCUCUGUGUAUCAUCUGAAUUGUACUACACAUACAACAUAACCCGUAGCGCAUGUUGUGUACAAGAUAGUUUUCCAGAGUGUCUUGUACAUGACAAACUUGGCAUACUCGCCUUCGUCAUCGAGACAUUGGGUUGAAACCGAAACUAUCAGCAAUUCCAGUAGUUUAUGAUUAUUGUGAUGCUAAAUUCUAACCCAGUUUGGAUUUUAUGUGCACUACAAGUGACACAGGGAAGCUAAUUUGAAGGCUCGCACACCUUAAAAUCUACGCUGAACCACUCAAACUCCUUGAAUGCAUCAAGUUGAGGUAAGUGGCUCUUUCCAUCCAUUAACUAGACUAUUCAGGUAUUCCAUGGUUCUAAAAGACAUAUCUACAUGAUGGUCAUAACUGUGUACUUUAUUCACACGAAACCAUUGGCUCAUUAUCCUGACAUAGAUUUCAAGCAAAUCGAAUGGAUAGCAUUGCAGAAUUGUCCUUGAGUGCCUUCUCUAUGGCCAUUGGAUUGAAGUUUAGCAAUUUUUUCUAAUGUCUAGACUCAAAAUGGUUUGGUAGAAUCCUAUCCAAAGAGUUAAGUUCAUUGCAUUAUCUGUACUUUGGAAUUCCAACUUACCAACUUUACGUUGGAGUCAUCAAGUUUUACAUGCUCAUGACAGAACUGCAUAAUAUUAUUCCCCUCUAUUUUUGAUAUGUGGAUAUCUAGCAAGUAUUUCCUAUCUGCGGUAAUUCGGUUGCAUACCGAUAUCACCACCCCAGCAUACAUCAUUGGCUCCUCAACAUAUAGUUGGGAUCUAUGUGAGGAAUAAUUGUAUUUCCGUCAAUACCUUAAGCUCCUCGCAUGGGGAGUUAUUCAAGGCCAGUAUGCUGAUUCAACGAGGAACAUUUCUAGGCAUUAGGGGGAGAUUUCAAGUACCAUAAAGAAUGCCAGGAAAUUAGUGGAAUGUUCAACACAUUUCUGCCUCAAAUCCACUGUAGCGACCCGACCUCAGAUGGUCAAGUCUCUGUGCUUAAGUGUCAUCCCUGGAUCGGUAUGCUGACACACACAGUACUCGAGGGUUUAUAACAGAGGUAAAUCACAUGUAUAAAGUAACGUAAAUACUAUUACCUCAAUCCAAAUAGCGGAAGUAACAACAAGGUUGCGGAUUCCCAUCAACACCAACGGCAAAGUUGAGUGUAGAAAUCGUAACCCUAACGUAUCACUUACUCGUCGUAAGAUCCCUGCAACAUGAGACGUUGCAGCCAUGUAGGUCAGUACAUUGAAUGUACUGGCAAAUUCACACCAUAGGAUAAUGAUGAAUAAUAACUAUCACUACAUGCAUAUAUGGCUGGUGGAAAGCUCUAAGUUUAUUUUUGCAUAAAGCCAAUUUUUCCUACAACAAAGGAAUAUAUUUUAUUUAACUACAAAGUUUGUUGAAAUUAUUGAGAAGGUUCCUCCAACUCAAUCCCAAAAUAAUAAUUAUAACCCAACAAAUUAGUUAAAUAAAGUGAUGAGAUCAAACCAAUAAUUCAAUACAAGAUACUCAAGAUAUCCAUAACCGGGGACACGGCUAACCAUGAUUAGUUUGUACACUCUGCAGAGGUUUGCGCACUUUUCCCCACAAGACUCGAUCUCCUCCGUUGGAUUUCUCGCACUACAUGGUGUUUGAGAAACGGAUGACCAAGACAGUUUUUUAGAAGCAUUAACUCUAACCCCGGGUAGACUGUACCAACCUACAUCCCCUACAUCUGCUAGCCUACCACUGGAAGAGGUCAUGCAACUUACUCCACUAUGCUAGAGCCCAUAAUAGCUUGUGGCUGCACACAGAAGUUUCUAGCAUGAAUAAUCUUAUGAUCCCUUUGAGCCUGGGUGGCAUUCUAUAGGAUGAUCACACGGGUACUCCGGAAUCCCCUUGGGAAAGCACUGGGUUCUCCAGGUGCCCCAAUCAAUCCACCCAGAUGUGUAUUAAAGUAGCCACCUUAAGUUAAACCUUAAUUAACAAUCUCACAUCUGUCAUGGAUACACUCAAACCCAAUCCACGUCUACGAGCAUAGCAUGGCAAUAAGCAUAACGUAGUAACUCCGAGGGUUUGAAUGCAAGACAAUAGGUUCCUACCUCAUCAAUUACUUCCCAAUACCCACAUGUUAUCAAUCCUACUCGUGCAAUGUUUGAGGCUGAAACUAAUGCAUAAAAACUGGGUAUGAAAGGGAUAUGAUCAAACUGUGAACUUGCCUUGUACUGUUGAUCAAGAUAAUUCGCACUCAUAACUCCUGAUAGUUCUACUCGUCACACUUCGUUCAAUCUAUCGUGAGCAAACAAUAAUAACCACACAUAAGCAAUCACUCAAAAGAUUGGAAAGAACGAAGAAAACAAUUCGGAAAACAUCAAAACCAAGCAAAUAACUCUUGCAACAAAAAACAAUUUCUAACAGUACCAAAAUUAAGUGAAUUUGGCCUUAUCAAAAAGUUUAGGUCAAGAAUUUCGAUUUGCAAAAGGAAUCAACUAAAUCGAAGUUACAAAACUCAAGUUAUGAUCAAAAAAAGUUUGAAUAUGAAUCUGAACAAAUUUUGAAAUUUAAAAAUUUCAAAAAGUUGAUGUGACAGGUUCACUGGAUGGGUGAAAACAAUACAAAACUAUAGGCGCUGGUUUCAUCUAAUUUGAAUGAACGAGUAAAAAGUUAUGGCUAUUUAAAAAAUUAGGGCCAAGAUGUUUUACGAAAGAAAAAUAGGUACGGCUAAACUACGGGAGUAUAAAAAAAACAAAGAAAGGUAUCUUUAUAAGGUAGAGAAAAAACAACUUCGGAAAGAGAAGACAAUUUUCAGAAGUCCCGUCGAAGAAGAGAAAAUUAUUAUUUUUAAUGAAUCUAGUCAAACCAAAAUAUUGAUUUAACCUGAAUCGGAUUAUUUUUGAAGUUUUUAUGGGUCUAUAUUUAUAGGUGAAAAAGAGGCUUAGGGGUCAAAGACUAGACAAUGUGGGACUAAACAUAGAUGAACAAAUAAAAUGAACGAGGAACCGCAUGGCUAAAAUCAACACCGGCCGGCCGCGCACUGCAGUUUUUUUUUGAAAUUUUUUUCUUUUAAGAAAAAAAGUAAAAAUAUAUCUGAAAAUAUUUUUUUUUCUCCAAGCAUAGCCGAAAAAUAAAUAAAAACAGUUAUGGGCCUGUCUGCUGACUAUGUUACACAUGUGGGCGACGGAUAGUUAUAGGCCGCACACGCAGUUUGUUUCUUUAACAAUUUUUAAAGAAAAUAAUAUAAACCAACUAAAGUAAAAAAAUACUAUAGGCAUAUAAUAUAUCGGAAUUUUCAUAAAAAGAUUUUCCACAACUUGAACAUUAUUCUAGCAUCAAAUAAGAUCUACAAAAGUUUAAAUAAAGCAAAGAGUGCUACAGCUAUAAUAAAACCUAGUAAAAAUCAUUUUAAAAAUAUCAAACUAAAUUCAAAUUUAUUUCUCCAAUUUUCUAAUGUAGGAAAUCAUUUUACCCUAUUUUUCAUAUAUUUUAUUUUUGGAGAAAAAUAAUUUGAAUAAAACCAAAUAACUCCAAAUUGAAAAUACUUUCAAAGGAACCUUGAAUUUGAUUCUUUUAAACUUCCAACUCAUAUUUCAUAUGUUUUUGAAGAAGUCAUUUUAUCUUCUCUCAUGAAAAUCAUUGAGUUGCUUGAAGUUUCUGAAUUUGAAAUAUUUCCAAAUGAAAUUCAAAUCUUUUCAAAAACCCUUUUCAUUUAGUUAAAUGGAAGAAGUCAUGUCAUCUUCUCUCUAGGGUUUUGUAUUUUGAAAAGAAUUUGAAUUCACGGAGAUCAUAAAUGCAAAAAGUUUGGAAAAGUCCUUUUAUUCCCUCUCAUUUAACUUUCGAAAAGUUUUAAUUUCACUCACUUUCAGUCAAUCAAUCACACAACAAUCAAACAAACAAUCGAAACUAUCUAUUUAUUAUAACAUUCCAAAAUUUAGAAUUUUGGGAUGUUACAUCCACGUACUCAAAGAUUUGAACCAUGCGUUCAGAAGAUUUACAACACAUUGCAAAUAAUCUGCCAGAUUCAUUUACUGACUAUAAAGGUGUCACACAAUCCUACAAUCCUGUAAAAGUACGACUGAAAGAGUGGAGGUACCAAAAAAAUCCACUCCACUCCCCGUUCAAAGCAAUAGGGGGAGAUGUAUGGCAGAAGUACAUCAGGAUUCAACUUCUUGCAAGCAAGGAUGUCAAGGCCUAUGAAUCAGUAAAUACAAGUCAACUUCACGUUGACAGAAACCUAAUGGGUAGUAUACACCUAGUGCACGGGAAACCUCCACCAACCCAGGUCAUAGUGCACACAAUGACCGGGACAUCGGAAUACCCGACUCAAUCGCAUUGGGAAAUCGCGAGCAGUCACUAUGGGUAUCGAUAUUUCCAUCAACUAUAUAUUGAUAUAUAGAUUCUGGAGAAUCAUAUAACCGGAAAUCUACAGUUGUCGACAUACAUUUCUCAACUAGAUUGCAAAACCUUUCAGAUGAUUCAGAUCCAAAGACCAUGGCCAUGGCAAAGUGUGAACAACACUCGGACUGAACUCAAGGAAAGAGUAUAAUUUAGGUAGAAAUGAUCUUGCUCAAUAAUGGGAAGGUAUUCAUAAGCAAUACCUACACCAGUUUUCUUCUGGAAACAUCACUGAGAACAGUGAGGUGGUGAAACAAAGAGCAAGCAUUAUAGCACAAGGGUUCACGCAGAUACCCAAUUAUUCUCCAGAGGUGGAAUCUCUUUCCGAUAACUUAUAUCAUUGGCAGUACAAAAUCAUCUACCUCUGCAGUUGAUAGAUGUAGUGAUCACAUAUCCAUGUGGAUCACUAGAUUCAGACAUAUAUGGUUGAUUCCCGAUGGAUUCUCACUUCUGAAUCGAAAUGCAAUACGCAACAUACAUUGUGUAAAAUCAAUAAGUCACCAUAUGGCUUAUUAUUGUCGAUACAUUUGGUAUAACCGACAUAGUGAGUUCCUUAUACACAAGGAUUACUCCUACAAUGAUGAUUAUCCAUGUUAGUGUGUCUGCAAUGACGACACAUGUAAUCAUCUAACUGAUGGAGUUUAAAAUAAAGGAUUUGGGUAAACCAAAACAUCGCUCGUUACUACAAAUUGAGCACCUUCAUUCAUACAUUAUGGUAUAUUAUGUUGUCUAUAUCCAUAAUAUAUUGGAGAAAUUCAUUAUGGACAAAUUUUAUCCAUCCAUAACUCUCAUGGUAGUUCAUUCUCUAGAUAUAGAGAAAGGUCUAUUUAGACCAAGAGAUGAUGGAAAUGAGAUACUGGGACUCAACGUUCCAUAAUAUCAUUGGAUCCACCAAACACAAUUGAUUGGUACUUAAGAAUAUCUUUCAAUAUCUCCAAGGCAUUAAACAUCUUGUCCUGGUUUUUCAGUUUCAUAGAAAUGCGAACACCGAUAUCAUUGGAUACAUCGAUCAAAUCCCCACUAUGUGAGAUCGUAGACAAGCUUAGUGUUCCUACUAGGUGUGAUAGCCCUCUCAUGAAGAGUCUUCGAAACAGACCUCAUGGCUACAUCGACCAACCAUUAUCUCAACGAUAAUGUUUCUUGUGUUGCCCGGAUGCAAACAGAUUACAUAAUAAGCAAUAUAACUAUAUUGCAUAUCUUGCAAGUCAAAUCAUGUGACUGAUUUAUUCACCAGGUCUCUACCAACUUCUAUCUUCUAUAAAUGUGCUCAUGGAAUUGGUAUAUAACGGCUUCGGAAUACGCAAGAAUCAGGGGGAGUAUCUUCCUAAAUUGUUCCUGUUGAAAGCAUCAUAUAUACUCUUUUUCCCUUCAUGAGUUUACUUUCUAGGUUCUCAUAAAGGUUUUUAAUGAGGUAAUAUCAACACAAGACCAUAUGUCAUAUUUUCUGUUUUCCCCACCGGGGUUUCUAAGAAAGUAUAUGUGACAUAUUUAUUGUCCUCUAAACUCUAUGAGUUUUCUCAUAUGGAGUUAAAAGAGACUAACCAUUAUAUGUUGCAUCAUUUUCUCCUUAUUUUUCCCACUGGAUUUGAAGGAGUUUUAGCAAUAUAUUACACUACCCCUCAUAUUUUCGCCAUAAGGUUUUUGGAGGAGACUCUUUUGAGUUAAUGAUACUACAUGGACAAGCAGAGAUUAGGGGGAGUGUUAGAAUUAAACACAUGUUUAAUUAGAAGGGAAUCUCCCCUUGUUAACUGCUACGGUUUCCUGAUGGCAACCGACGCAGCCUCUCCCUUGGCGUCCUUUGCCCCGACGCUCUCGCGUCCCUUUGUAUCAUCGCGUCCCUACGGGAUGUAUAUAUUGUAACAAAUCCUAUCAAUGAGAACAACUAUUCUACUAUUUGUCAUUUGCCUCUUGCAAUUACUCCGAACAAUGUGCAUCGGCUGCGUAGCGGUUGGAGAUGGAAAGAUCCCCACACCUAAAGUUUUGAUUUUUUUUUUGCAAUGUGCAAAAUCGCCCUAGUGGGGAGAGGGGCCGAUUAGGGCAUCUCCAACAGGUUGUAUGUUAGUCUUGUUGGUAAAAUGUCCAUGUCAUCAACCAACAAGCUAUCAUACAACUACUCCAAUAGGUUGUAUGUAAGUUAUCCAAUAGAUGGUGAGAAAAUAAAUGUGAUUGCUCUCUAUUUCACCUUGGACCUUGUGCAUAUGUUGUUGGUUAAUCUACAUACAAUUUUGCUCUCUCUCUCCAUAUUUAUUACAUGCCACAUCAUCACUAUAUCCUAGGUGGCAAAUUUACCAACACACGUAUCUUACAACUGUUGGAGAUGCCCUUACUGGGAGCUCCACUCCUGACAUUUUAGGGGAUGGGUUGGUGUAACUCUCAAGGCUGUAUUUUUUUUGCAGACAAGUGUUUUUUUUGGAUGAUUUAAAGAUGCGCUUAGGACACCCAGACCGUGAGCUAAAAUGAGAUGAAAGACAAUAGGAAUCAAAGAACACAAGCUAGAUAUAUUUAUGCAUGCAGACAUGACAGAGUUACUUGAUUCCCAUCAGAUUACUUGAUUUCCCAACAGACAACUUGGUUCAGGAAUUCAACAGAUUACUUAGUUCAGGAAUUGGAAGUCUUUAAGCAAAAGGUGAGACGCUCAACGACAGGUAGCUCAAAAGGUGAAAAGUUCAACGACAACUCGACUAGAGACCAGAUCCAGCACUCCGGCCUCUCCUUGCAAGUCUGCAACACUCGAGCAGUUACUCAG
This 85893-nucleotide long non-coding RNA is filed under the name Triticum aestivum (bread wheat). Its description in RNAcentral is "long non-coding RNA (TAES_LNC024240)". Lineage: Eukaryota; Viridiplantae; Streptophyta; Magnoliopsida; Poales; Poaceae. The record is from RNAcentral.